UUUCUGCCAGUGCUCAGUCAACUAGCCAUGGUGAACCCUGCCGCCUACCUACAACAGCAACAACUGCUUUCAUCUAGCCCGCUCGCUAUGGCCAAUGCACCUACAUACCUGCAACAACAAUUGUUGCAACAUAUUGUACCAGCUCUGACUCAGCUAGCUAUGGCAAACCCUGCUGUCUACUUGCAACAGCUGCUUCCAUUCAACCAACUGACUGUGUCGAACUCUGCUACGUACCUACAACAUCGACAACACUUACUUAAUCCAUUGGCAGUGGCUAACCCAUUGGUCGUUGCCUUCCAACAGCAGCAACAAUUGCUGCCAUACAACCAGUUCUCUUUGAUGAACCAUGUCUUGUCGAGGCAGCAACCCAUCGUUGGAGGUGCCAUCUUUUAGAUUACAUAUGAGAUGUACUCGAUAAUGGUGCCCUCAUACCGGCAUGUGUUUCCUAGAAGUAAUCAAUAUAUUGAUUGAGAUUUAUCUCGAUAUAUUUCUGAACUAUGUCCAUCAUAUAAAUAAUUGAAAACAUCAAAUCGUAAUUAUAAACUCAUGCUUGGUCAAUACAUAGACAAUGCGAUAUUACUUCAACAUCCCAAUGAUGUCCUAGCCCAACCUCUUGAAUGUUACUGUUUUAACGCGUGAGGGUAUAUUUAUAAGAUAGACGUGACUAUUUGCGCUUUUUUUUAGUACAUACAUAUAUGGUAUGUUGAUUUGAUAUAGUGAUGGACACAUGCUUUGACCAUGAAUAUUUAAAUCAGUUGUACUUGCAUGAAGCAAAACAUAAUAUAAGUUUAGGAGUACACUUAUAACUGUGUCCAAUCAUGCUCACACAAAUUCAUACCACAUUAUAAUUUUUUGGUAAAUAUUCCACACAUGUAUUUUUUACAAGAACCCAAAUAUUGCAGACAAAUGCAGCAUUGUAGACAUGUAGAAUUAUUCGAAGCACGUGAACUUAACAACACCAAGGUCAUUAAGUCAACUGGACCCUAUGAGUAACAAUUUCGAUAUUGCAAACACCAAAUUAUAGAACUUAUUGGCUGAAAAUUUAUGAGCAAUGUGAACUUUAAAUUAUUAUACCAUAAAUAUAUCAAAUAAUUUUUUUUUGAGGAACGUAAAAAUUGCAUGGAAUGGGCUGCCCAACGUGCUAGCUCACUUCUAUGCUAGUUAGCAUUACCAAAGAUGGGAAUGUUGCUGAUGAACGCCAAACCCACUCAAAUAAUAUUUAUAGUUGGGUUGUUUAGUUGUAAAAGUGAAGACCCAAGAUAAAAGUACCAAUUGUCCAAUGACAUUCGAUUAUUUUGUUCGGGGAGCACUUGGUGCGUCAUUUGGACUCGUAUCUUAGUCCAAUAGAUUGCAUUUUCCUUCAAUGUGUAGAAUCCGACAAAGUGCAUGUUCUAAAAUUGUAAAUCUAACUAAAUUAGAAAGCUUGUUACUAAUUUGAUGGUUUAUUAGGUGUAGCUCAUAAAACUAGAACCAACAUAGCCUGCACUCACAUGUCAUAGAAAAUAGGACUAUCCAAGCACAAUUUGUGUGAGCAUCCAUGACACAAAUUAUAUAUAGUCUGAUAUAAUUAAUUCCUUCAAAAUAAAAAAGGAAAAAAUAAAGUGGUUUUUGAUACUGCAGGAUAUCUCCUUUAGCUAAUGAGGAGUACUAAAAAGUUGUUGCACUUUUGGGUGGCGAGAAUUCCUCAAUCAUAACUUUGACAUAAUUUUAAUCCAGAUCACAUAUAUAGCAUCAUAUCUUAAUUAUUAAAUUAUUAUGGUUCCAUCAUCGUAUUAUUAAUUCAAUAUGAUAUAACCAUCAAAUCUUAAUUAUUAAAUUAAUCUGGAGCGUACAUUAGAUUAUCAAACCAAAUCAACCCGACAUAACCAUCGAAUGUUCCGCUAUGCACCUUAAGCACAUGGUCUGGGGCUUAAUCAUCCGGAAUAACCAUCCGAUCUUCUAGUAAGCAUAGUAAGCGUAUGGUUCACGACUUCGUUAUCCGGAAUAACCAUCAGAUUUUCCAGUAUGCACUGAAAGCAAAUGAUCCGGGGUUUUGGUAGGUGAAACAUUGUUAGGUGAAUGCGGAUGCUGGCUGCUGUUGCACGUGUGAACUGCUGUGUGGAAGCUGCUGGGUCCUCCUCUAUUGUGUGUGGUUUGUGGCGGGCUUCGAAUGCUCUCAUGGCUUCGGUGCUUGGAACUGCUCGUACGUCCGGUCCUGCGUGCAUCUCUCUCUCCUGGCUGGAGGCGUGGUGGUGUGGCGGCUUGUCUGUGUUUUUCUUUUUACGGCGGCUUCUCGUGUUGGCUAGUGUUGGCGUCAGGGGCCCGGUCAGCUAUGCUCCCUCAGUUUUAUAGGCAGUGCACCACAGCAGGCAGAGCAGAGAUAAAGAUUCCAACUGCAUCCAUCUACAAACAAGGCUCUCGGCAGAAGGGAUAAAAGCAUGGAGCGCAAUUGUCGCUGCCCUGCUGCAGCCUUGACUCUCGUCAAUUGGAUGACCAAAAGAUGCCACCGUCUAAGCUCUUUUCUAUGUGCAGCUGCCUGUUUGUCACCAACACAAAAUAGUAGGUGCCUGUUUGACACCAAUUAUCCUCUACCACAAAGAACUACAAUAGUGAUGGAGGAUCCGAUCCGGCACAGAUCCACUAUAAUGCAUAUUGGGUGAUGCAUGCCUAAUGGUGGUUGUUUAGUGUUAGUUUGGGCAUGUUGGAACUAAGCAAUUGACGAUGCCAUACACUAGAAGUGAAGAAUGUUGUUAGCGUUAGGAGUUGAGGUGUCAAUGGGGACCAAUACCCGUUAAGCCAUGGAGAAUUUCUCUAUUAGAUUUAGGGUAUGGGAAAAAUUUUAUUUCCAUUUGCUGAUGUUAGGUAUACAUCUAUUUGAAUCAACAGUUACAGUUCAACAGAAACUCCUUCCGCUCUAGUUUGUUUCAUGUCCUAACUUUUUCCUAAACUAGUUUUUCCUAAAUUGACAUACUCUCUACAAAAUCUAUCCAAAUUUUGAAGAUCAAAUCUGUUCCAUUGAAUUAUUCAUGACAUAUAUCUUGGUAUUGCUUUUUGUCAUCAGAAUAUAUUUCGAACUCAGUAAAAGUUAUACACGAUUUUUUAGACAAUACUAAAGCAAGUUGUAAUCAAGAACACUUGAGGUGUGCGCCAAUUGCCACAUUUAGAUAUAAUCAUUCUAAUUUUGGUCAUCCUAUGUGUGUGCAUUCAUCUAUGCAUUCUAGGAUUUCAAUUAGUCUCAAUCUUGUAGUAUUUUUUCCUUCAUUGUCAAAUCACUUCUCAUCUAACUACUAUGCUUGUUUAACCAUUAGAACAUAAGUACAACAAUAUCCAUUUAGAAAGUUUUUGAUAGCAAACUUUACAUAUUCAUAUCAUGUUAAGGUUGUCACAUGUGUAAAGGUGAAGCGAUCAUGCAUGUCAUUCCACAUAGAUUAAAAAAAAUCCUAUAUAAAAAUGACAAUUUUUCUUGUAGGUAGUGGAAAGUAUCUUUCCAGCAAAGACUAUAUAUAUAAUCCGAUAAAGCCGAUAACUAAAUGUCAAAAUCGAGUAGAUGCCAUAUCAUCUAUACCUUAUCUGUUGUUUGGAAAAAAGACAAAAUCCAAAAAAAUAUAUAUGAGAUCUCACUUGUAUAAAUAGCUCCCAAAUCAGUAGUUAAUCCAUCACCUAUAAUAUUUUGAGCAUUCAGAAACACACCUAGGGAAGCGCACUAGCAACGACCUAACAACAAUGGCUACCAAGAUAUUAUCCCUCCUUGCGCUUCUUGCCCUUUUUGUGAGCGCAACAAAUGUGUUCAUUAUUCCACAAUGCUCACUUGCUCCUAGUGCCAUUAUUCCAAAGUUCCUCCCACCAGUUACUUCAAUGGGCUUCGAACACCCAGCUGUGCAAGCCUACAGGCUACAACAAGCGCUUGCGGCGAGCGUCUUACAACAACCAAUUGCCCAAUUACAACAACAAUCCUUGGCACAUCUAACAAUACAAACCAUCGCAACGCAACAGCAACAACAGUUCCUACCAGCACUGAGCCACCUAGCCAUGGUGAACCCUGCCGCCUACUUGCAACAACAACUGCUUGCAUCCAACGCACUUGCUCUGGCAAACGUAGUUGCAAACCAGCAACAACAAUAGCUGCAACUAUUUCUGCCAGCGCUCAGUCAACUAGCCAUGGUGAACCCUGCCGCCUACCUACAACAGCAACAACUGCUUUCAUCUAGCCCGCUUGCUGUGGCCAAUGCACCUACAUACCUACAACAACAAUUGUUGCAACAUAUUGUACCAGCUCUGACUCAGCUAGUUGUGGCAAACCCUGCUGCCUACUUGCAACAGCUGCUUCCAUUCAACCAACUGACUGUGUCGAACUCUGCUGCGUACCUACAACAGCGACAACAGUUACUUAAUCCACUUGCAGUGGCUAACCCAUUGGUCGCUGCCUUCCUACAUGUCACACCCGGUUUUAAAAAGGCAAACCGAAUGCGAACCAUGUACGUGCCAGGAUCAGUUAUUCACGUACACAGCAGUUACAUAAUAUGGACAUCAUCACACAGUGCUCAAAAUAGUAUUAAUAAGGGAAAUAGUAGAUUACAUCAUACGUCUGAGACGUCCAUAUAGUUCUUACAAUAAAUCAAAGUGCGGAAAAGAAACGUAGAUAACGCGGCCUUCACAGGCAGCCGACUGGGGGUUGCCGCUAACCCACACCUAGAACUCGUCGUAAUCUUGGAACUCCUGGAAGUCUCCUUCCACAGCUUCAUCUUCGCCUGAGCAGUGGUUGCAAUGCUGACAACCUGGGGGGGGGGGGGUUUGGUGUGUAGAGCAAGGGUGAGUACACAUCAACAUACUCAGCAAGUAUCCUGUUUGGCUGUAGUGGACUAGCUUUAUGUGGGGAUAAGUCAAGCAGUUGCUUUUAGUUGGUCAGGUUAUUACUUACUAGUAGAAAGCCAAGUUUUAGCAUUAACCCAAGUUAUUAACCCAAUGUAUCCUUUCCAAACGGAAAGAAUACCACUUACCAGCACCAUAACCAUAACCAGAACCAUCAAUCUCAUAACCACCUGUACCACAAUGUCUCUGAUCAAGUACCACUAAUCAUUGGAGCUCCCUUGGCCGCUCAUAACCGCGAGCACGGCUGAUAUAUCAGUUUCAUAACACUCUGCAGAGGUUGUGCACUUUACCCACAAGCCGUGAUUCCCAUUCUGCCCGGAGAUCAUGACUCUCCAUUGAUCACUACCAAGGUGAUCCAGCAGGGCAUCACUACGAAGCCUUUACAAAGAUUCCCCGGGACUGCAGCCACCCGUUAGGUUUCCUAAAUGCACCGCACUCCUCCCCAAGGGGCGAACCCAAACUUGGCAGAGCGAGCCGCAUACACCGAGCCCCAUUGACGGCACGACGGCUAAGUGAACUACACCCCGGAUCCUCUAAUUAUUCAGCUAAGGGCACCCCAUUCCACCCUCAUGGUUGCACUGUUUUCCCGGGCGGUCAUCCAUAGAACAGGUCCUUACGGAGAGGCACUCGAGAAACCGCUCGAGUCCCCUUGAAAACCACAAGUAUAAUCAUAAAGAAGAACGGGAAAACAGCGUAUCAUAGAUAAUCACAUCAUGUUCAUUGAUUAGAGUUGAGCAAUAGCAUCAGACUAAGUAGUAAUAAUCCGACCCAAAUAGGUAAACAAGGACAUGGAUAACAAAAGCUAGUCAAUCCUUAGGUAUAAAUGUGUAAUGCGGGAGGUGAAUUAAAGAAUGAAUAGGACAUAGAUAGGUCAAAGGACACUUGCCUCCACCAAACGACUGCUGCUCAGGGGCUUCUCCUGCGAAUUCCUCGGGCUCUUCGACUGGAUCGUUCUCUAUGCGAGCGCAAACAUACAUACAUACAUCCACAUAUUUAAUACAAAAGAACAGUACACCAUACAAGAUAACAAAUAAAGCGAAUAUGCAUCAAGUAUGACAUUCGAUAACGCAUUUGUUAUGGUCAGAAAGAAACGGGAAAGGUCUCGCAGGGGGGGUUAAAUCUUAUGCACUAACGAUCAAUUACAAUUGGUUUUUAACAAAAUAAUUCUGCUACAUAUACACUAAUGGAAACCUAAUCACUUUUAGUUGAUCAACAUUGCACAGGGUAAACAAUUAACUACGUGCGUCAAUAGCAUAACGGAAUUUUAAAUUAAACUUCCUAUUUUCCCAUAGCAUGAACAGUGAUUAGCCUACUUAAAAUACAGUAAUUAUGAUCACAGAAAGUAAAUAAAAUAAAAUAAAAAAAAAUAAAAAAAAAAACAGAGGGGGGGGCGGUUGAACCGGCCCUAGGGCGGUUGAACCGGCCCUAGGCGGGGCGCGGGCGCGGGCGGCGCAGGGGGCGGCCGAACCGGGGGGCGGGGGGCGGCGCAGGGGGCGGCCGAGCCGGGGGGCGGGGCGGCCGAACCGGCGGGGCAGGGGGGCGGGUAGGGGGCGGCCGAGCCGGGGGGCGGGGCGGCCGAACCGGCGGGCAGGGAGGCGGCCGAACCGGCCAUGGGGAGAGGGGAUGGGGGAGGGAGGAGAGGGGGAGGGGGAAGCUCACCGGCGACGGGGACGGGGCGGCCGAGCGGGGCGGCCGAACGGCGACGGGGAGGGGCGGCGGCCUAGGCAGGGGCGGCGGCUAGGGCAGGGGGCGGGUAGGGGGCGGCGGCUUGGGUGGGGAGGGAGAAAAUGAGGGGGGAGAGGGAGAGGGUUAGGGGAUAAGGGAAAGAGGGGGGGGGCGGCUGGGCCUACUAGGCCCAAGAGGGGGGCGCCAGGGGGCGGCUGGGCCGGCCGGGGUCGGCCCACGGCGCGGGAGAGAGAGAAAAAAAAGGAGAGAGAAAGAGAGAGAGAAAAGAGAAAGAAAAGAGAAAGAAAACAUUUUCGAAAUCCGAUCUUUCUACAUGAAUGCAUUUGCACUUUCAAAGCAAUCAAAAGAAAUGCAAGGUUCGGCAUGGUGCAUCAAACAACAUAAAGUAUUUAGGGUUUUUAUACAUACGGGAAUUCCAAACCGAAUCCCGCUAGAACUUUGGAAAAGGUCAAGGUUUAGCGAGGGAAAAAGAAAAAGAAAAGGUAACGCCCGAAUUUUGGCGAGUAAAGAAAAGAAAAAAAAUUCAACUGCAAAAAUUCGGGGCGUUACAAACCUAUCCCCCUUAAAAGAAUCUCGCCCUCGAGAUUCAGGGCUGGCUAGCAAAGAGCUCCGGGUACUUGGCCUUCAGAUCAUCUUCACGCUCCCAGGUUGCUUCUUCCUCAGAGUGGUGACUCCAUCUGACUUUGCACAUUCUGACGGUCUUCCUUCGGGUGACUCUGUCUGCAAUCUCAAGGAUCUGAGCUGGCUUCUCAACGUAGGUCAAGUCCUCCUGGACUUCCAGACCUUCCACUGGCAACUGCUCUUCCGGCACACGCAAGCACUUCUUCAACUGAGACACAUGAAAGACAUCAUGCACAGCAGACAAAUUCUCUGGCAGACUGAGCUGAUAGGCCACUUCUCCACGUCUUGCAAGAAUCUGAUACGGACCAAUGUAGCGGGGUGCUAGCUUGCCUUUCACUCCGAAUCUUCUGACUCCUCUGAUCGGUGACACUUUCAGAUAGACAAAGUCUCCGACUUCGAAACUCAGCUCUCUUCUUCUUGUGUCUGCAUAGCUUCGCUGCCUUGAUUGCGCUAUCUUCAGAUUCUCUCGGACCAUCUUGACGUUCUCUUCGGCUUCGAGCAAAAUGUCUGGCCCAAACACUUGCUUUUCCCCAGGCUGAUCCCAUUGCAACGGAGUUCUGCAACUCCUUCCAUACAGCGCUUGAAAUGGUGACAUCUUCAAACUGGCCUGGUAACUGUUGUUAUAGGAAAACUCCGCAUAAGGCAAUCGCUUGUCCCAUCCGGACUGAUCUUGCAACGCACAUGCUCUCAACAUAUCUUCAAGAAUUUGAUUGGUUCUUUCGGUCUGGCCAUCUGUCUGCGGGUGGUAAGCUGAACUGAAAUUCAGAUGCGUGCCCAAGGCUUCAUGCAACUGCUGCCAGAAAUGAGAGGUGAACUGCGUUCCUCUGUCUGACACUAUCUUCUUUGGCACACCAUGAAGACAAACGAUCCGAGACAUAUACAAUUCUGCCAAUACUGCACUGUUGUAGUUGGUCUUGACAGGUAUGAAGUGGGCUGACUUGGUCAAGCGGUCCACUACUACCCAAAUGGAAUCGUAGCCGGCUCGAGUGCGAGGCAAUCCGACUAUGAAAUCCAUACCAAUUUCAUCCCAUUUCCACUGAGGGAUCUGCAACGGUUGCAACAAUCCAGCUGGUCUCUGGUGUUCUGCCUUAAUUCUUCGACAACUAUCGCACAUAGCCACAUGCUCUGCGAUUUCCCUUUUCAUUCCGUACCACCAGAAUUUCUUCUUCAGAUCCUGAUACAUCUUCUCACUGCCAGGGUGAAUCGAAUAGGCUGUCUCAUGAGCUUCCUUGAGAAUCAACUCCCGAAUAGACUGGACAUUGGGAACACACAAGCGGUCUUUGAACCAUACCACACCUUCUGCAUCUUCUCGAAAGUCUUUGCCUCUGCCAUCUAGAAUCAAUCGCCGAAUCUCACUGAUCUUCUCAUCAUUUUUCUGCGCUUCUUUGAUUUCGCGCUCCAAGGUAGGUUCCAAUUCAACUGUGACUCCUCGAGAAUUGUUUAGAAAUCCGAGACUCAACCUGUCAAACUCCUUGGCCAACUCAUAAGGCAUCGGACGAGCGACCAUCAGAUUGACUUGACUCUUUCUGCUCAAAGCAUCUGCCACUACGUUUGCUUUGCCUGGAUGGUAAUGAAUCUCCAACUCAUAGUCUUUGAUCAAUUCUAACCAUCUUCGUUGCCUCAUGUUCAAUUCUGAUUGAGUGAAUAUGUACUUCAGACUCUUGUGGUCUGUGUAAACAUCGCAUUUCUGUCCAUACAGAUAGUGCCUCCAUGUCUUCAGUGCGUGAACCACUGCUGCCAACUCUAGAUCAUGGAUGGGGUAGUUCUUCUCAUGAACCUUCAGCUGUCGGGACGAGUAAGCCACAACUCUUCCCUCUUGCAUCAACACACAUCCCAAACCUGUGUAACAAGCAUCACAAUACACCGAGAAGGGCUUGUGCACAUCAGGCAAGACUAGGACAGGCGCUGUUGUCAACUUCUCUUUCAGCGCUUCAAAGGCCUCUUGGCAUUUCUGGGUCCACUUGAACUCAACCUUGUUGCCUAGCAACGCUGUCAUUGGCUUCGCAAUCUUCGAAAACCCUUUAAUGAAUCGCCGAUAAUAUCCGGCCAUUCCAAUGAAGCUCUUGAUUCCUCUAGCAUCUGUUGGUGCUUUCCAGUUCAGAAUGUCUGCCACUUUCUUCGGAUCCACAGUCAAUCCUUCUUUGUUGAUUAUGUGACCCAAGAACAGGACUUCACUGAUCCAGAACUCACACUUGCUCAACUUUGCAUACAACUGGUGCUCUCGCAAUCUCUGCAACACCAUCCUCAAAUGAUCUGCAUGCUCUUCUUCACUUUGAGAAUAAACCAGAAUGUCAUCAAUGAAUACCACCACGAACUUAUCAAGAUAAUCCAUGAAUACACUGUUCAUCAAGUUCAUAAAGAAUGCUGGCGCAUUGGUCAAACCAAAAGACAUCACUGUGAACUCAUAUAAACCAUACUUGGUAAUGAAUGCCGUCUUCGGAAUGUCCGAAGGUCGGAUCCUGAGCUGAUGAUAACCUGACCUCAGAUCGAUCUUGGAGAACACACUGGCUCCUCUCAACUGGUCGAACAGAUCUUCUAUUCUGGGCAAAGGAUACUUGUUCUUGAUCGUGACCUCAUUCAAAGCUCGAUAGUCGAUACACAUCCUCUUGGUACCAUCUUUCUUCUCCACAAACAAGACAGGGGCGGCCCAAGGCGAGGUGCUUGGCCGGAUGUAACCUUUUUCUGACAGCUCAUCAAUCUGCUUCUUAAGCUCAUCCAACUCUGGUCCAGAUAUUCUGUAAGCUCUCUUGAAGAUAGGGGCGGUUCCAGGAAGAAGCUCUAUGGCAAAUUCAACUUUCCGCUCUGGUGGCAUACCCGGUAAAUCCUUUGGAAACACAUCUGGGAAUUCGGACACAACCUUGAUACUCUCAAUCGGGUCUGCUUCACUGCUAUCGACAGUCAUCUGAUAACAACUUCCUUUCUUUGGCUCAGGCGGGACUAACUCAGUCACCACUUCCUCUCCUAGUGGGGACACUAACUUGAUUGUCCUUUUAUCACAACUGAUAACUGCCUGAUACUUAUCUAGCCAAUUCAUCCCUAGGAUGACAUCUAUUCCCUGAGUACCCAUUACUAUAAGGUUGGCGGGAAACGCUAUCCCCCUUAUUUUCACACUUAUAUUCAAACAAAUGCUAUCGGCUCGAAUUCUACCACCGGCUGAAUCAAUUUGAAUGGGGGUUGACAUGGUAGUUAUUGGAAGUUUAUGUGCUUCUACCCAUGAUGCAGUAAUGAAAGAAUGUGUUGCUCCAGUAUCAAAUAACACUUCUGCAAUAUGGGAGUCGACUGGGAACAUACCUACUGUCAUGCCGGGGGUCUCCUGAACUGCUUCAGCUUCCAAGUGGUUCAAUCUUCCAUGAUUAUAGCGCUGCUGAGAGCGAUUGCCUGCUCCAGGCUGAGACACAUUCUGCUUUGCUGGGGCAUUGGGGCCUGACUGCUGCUGGGCUGCCUUCUUUGGACAUUGCAUCACCCAAUGGCCUUGCUCUCCACAGUGGAAACAUGCCCUGUUUCCAACCUGAGCUGGUGCUGCCUGACUGUUCUGCUGAUUUGCUGGGGCAGGAAGACGAGGUGCUUGCUGAUUCUGCCUUUGAAACUGACCUCCUGACUGAUUGCUCUGACGGUUCUGGUACUGAUUCUGAGGGUACUGCCUUUGGAACUGCUGAUACUGCUGACGCUGCUGAUGCUGCUGAGGUGGACGCUGGUUCUGCCUGAACUGCUGAGGUUGAUUGCCUGAAAAGCGAGGGCGACUGCUGCUUCCAGACUGCGGUCCACUGAUCUUGCGCUUACGAUCUUCCAUCUCCUUGCGCUUCCUUUCUGUCAUGAUUGCUCUGUCAAUCAGGUGCUGGAAUGUCGGGAAGGUGUGAUUCAUCAGCUGAUACUGCAGAGGGUCAACCAAGCCUCUCAGGAAACGGUACUGUCGCUUGGCGUCGGUGUUGACAUCUUCAGGAGCAUAGCGAGACAAUUGCAGAAACUUGUCCCGGUACUCACUGACAGACAAUGGCCCUUGCUUAAGGGCCAGGAACUCCUCCUUCUUCACUGUCAUCAGACCUGCAGGCACAUGGUACUGACGAAAGCUACCCCUGAAUUCUUCCCAGGUGAUGGUGUCGGGGUUGGCAUGGGUGGCGAGGUAAGACUCCCACCAUGACUGGGCUGCUCCUCUCAACAGACGGGGACCAUACAGAACUUUCUCCCUGUCAUCGCACUGAGCGGUAUGCAACUCCCGCUCCACAGUGCGCAGCCAAUCUUCAGCAUCCAUGGGGUCAGAAGAGUGAGCGAACGUUGGUGGAUGACCUCUCAUGAAUUCAGCACGCUUAUCUCUAGGCAUCUGAGGCAUCUGAGGCUGGGGUGGUGCUUGCUGCUGUUGCUGCUGCUGCUGCUGCUGAAUGGCGGCCAAAGUCUGACCGAUGGCUUGAACUGCCUGAGUCUGCAUCAGAAACAUCUGCUCAAUCGACAUCGGGGGCGGGGGCGGCAGGUGCUGCUGCUGGGGCACCUCAUCCUGCGGAGCGGCUCGCUCCUGCUGAGCACGCCUUCCUCCUCUACGCCUGUUCUCUGACAUCUGCAGAACGCAACCACACAUCAGAACUGAUCUGGCAAAUCUUGCAGCAUAAGGAAAGAGAAUAGAAUUCUUCAACAGCACUGGGCAGGUGAGCAUCUUCACUGAUCUCCAACACAGACCACACAUCUUCUCAGAUAAAGAGGAAAGGAGAAUAAUGGGUUUCCCAACUAUAUAACUAACUUUAUUGACAUAGUAUGUAAACCAAAAUGCAGGGGAUACCCACACUCUGGUGACAAUCAUUACAAAGAUCCAAACCAAACAUAGUUCAUCAUGACAAGCAUAAAUGCACAGGAUAUAGCAAACUACCCUGUCUAACUAAAACUAACUAAGACCGAGACUAACGCUAAGACUGAAGCUUCUAUGUAUAUAUUUAUUUCGUAUUAAUUACAAGAUCCAGCUCUAACGAUCUAUGGUUCUAGAGUUAUCUUGGUCUUGCAGGCGGGAUUGCCAUAAGACUGGUGUCCACGCUGAGGUGAGCGGUACGGGUGCUGAGUCCCAACGGGAGCGGGGGAACCACCAUCCAGAAAACGACGUUCCGCGCGCUCAGCCCGCAGCAGGGCGAUCUCAGCACGAGCCCUACUCAGCUCGUCUAAUGCAUGGUCCAGCUCCGUGUUUAGCACGGCGGCUAGGUUGACUGUGCUGCUCAACCUAGGAUUGCCCUCACCGACAGGUGAGACAAUCACGCCUCCUGUGCUGCCAGAUGAACGGCGGGGGUAAUACUUCAGGUCAAGACCGUCAGCUGCCCCACCGAAAACCGAGCAGUAGUGCGAAAGCGCACGCCGUGCAGCAUCUUGCAUGGCUGCCUCAGCUGAGUCCCGCUCAGAGAUAGAAUAGUACUCUGAACAGGCCUCUGCACCCUGGAGACUGUCCUCCGGGCAGCGCACCAAGCAAGUCGCCUCCCAGCGGUCCGGGUAGACCCCGCGACUAUGCUGGUAGACCACACAGCGAUACUCGACGGACCAAGUAUGCCGGUCAAAUGCCCGACGUAGCAGGGUGUCGAGCGCAUCAUGGAAGUGACACCCGCGAGCAGCGUCGCGAGUGAUGGGUCGAGCAACCCAUCCUUCCGGCUCAGGAUUAGCAGAGAAGUCGGUGUCGUGGCUCGAGCUGUCGUCGCCAUCUCCGUCGUCUGGGUCUCCUCCAGCAGCUACUCCAGAAGCUGGGGCGCCCAGUGGUGGUGCAGGGGGCGGCUCCAGAGAAAGCACAGGGGAGCAGCUCCUCACAGACUCUAUCUCCUGGUGGAGCGAGAGGGAAGAGCUCCGCUGCUCCUGUCGUCGACGCUCCUGCUCCUCACGCAGGCGGUGGUGUAGUCUCUCCAAGUGGCUGGACUGUCCGGCCACGGGACGGCGAAGCGGACGCUCAGCAAGGCGGGAGGGUAAGAAGGGGAUGACUGACUUUCGUGCAGUGUGUCUAAGUCGAGCCAUCUACAAAAGACAUCGCAAGCAAAAGGGUGAGAACAGAAUUAAUAUGACCAGCAAGUAAUAAGUAAAUGAAGGAUCAGAAUAAAACAUAAUUUUCAGCAAGGUAUAAUAUGUAGUAGAACAUAGGUUUGGUCAGUAGGACCAACUUUUGAAGGGAUAUCAAAGUCAAGGAAGAGACAGAGGUCUAUAGUCCUUAGAACGACCAUUCUACUCUAGGUUAGCGGUCCUACAGUCAGCACGGCUCUGAUACCACUUAUGUCACACCCGGUUUUAAAAAGGCAAACCGAAUGCGAACCAUGUACGUGCCAGGAUCAGUUAUUCACGUACACAGCAGUUACAUAAUAUGGACAUCAUCACACAGUGCUCAAAAUAGUAUUAAUAAGGGAAAUAGUAGAUUACAUCAUACGUCUGAGACGUCCAUAUAGUUCUUACAAUAAAUCAAAGUGCGGAAAAGAAACGUAGAUAACGCGGCCUUCACAGGCAGCCGACUGGGGGUUGCCGCUAACCCACACCUAGAACUCGUCGUAAUCUUGGAACUCCUGGAAGUCUCCUUCCACAGCUUCAUCUUCGCCUGAGCAGUGGUUGCAAUGCUGACAACCUGGGGGGGGGGUUUGGUGUGUAGAGCAAGGGUGAGUACACAUCAACAUACUCAGCAAGUAUCCUGUUUGGCUGUAGUGGACUAGCUUUAUGUGGGGAUAAGUCAAGCAGUUGCUUUUAGUUGGUCAGGUUAUUACUUACUAGUAGAAAGCCAAGUUUUAGCAUUAACCCAAGUUAUUAACCCAAUGUAUCCUUUCCAAACGGAAAGAAUACCACUUACCAGCACCAUAACCAUAACCAGAACCAUCAAUCUCAUAACCACCUGUACCACAAUGUCUCUGAUCAAGUACCACUAAUCAUUGGAGCUCCCUUGGCCGCUCAUAACCGCGAGCACGGCUGAUAUAUCAGUUUCAUAACACUCUGCAGAGGUUGUGCACUUUACCCACAAGCCGUGAUUCCCAUUCUGCCCGGAGAUCAUGACUCUCCAUUGAUCACUACCAAGGUGAUCCAGCAGGGCAUCACUACGAAGCCUUUACAAAGAUUCCCCGGGACUGCAGCCACCCGUUAGGUUUCCUAAAUGCACCGCACUCCUCCCCAAGGGGCGAACCCAAACUUGGCAGAGCGAGCCGCAUACACCGAGCCCCAUUGACGGCACGACGGCUAAGUGAACUACACCCCGGAUCCUCUAAUUAUUCAGCUAAGGGCACCCCAUUCCACCCUCAUGGUUGCACUGUUUUCCCGGGCGGUCAUCCAUAGAACAGGUCCUUACGGAGAGGCACUCGAGAAACCGCUCGAGUCCCCUUGAAAACCACAAGUAUAAUCAUAAAGAAGAACGGGAAAACAGCGUAUCAUAGAUAAUCACAUCAUGUUCAUUGAUUAGAGUUGAGCAAUAGCAUCAGACUAAGUAGUAAUAAUCCGACCCAAAUAGGUAAACAAGGACAUGGAUAACAAAAGCUAGUCAAUCCUUAGGUAUAAAUGUGUAAUGCGGGAGGUGAAUUAAAGAAUGAAUAGGACAUAGAUAGGUCAAAGGACACUUGCCUCCACCAAACGACUGCUGCUCAGGGGCUUCUCCUGCGAAUUCCUCGGGCUCUUCGACUGGAUCGUUCUCUAUGCGAGCGCAAACAUACAUACAUACAUCCACAUAUUUAAUACAAAAGAACAGUACACCAUACAAGAUAACAAAUAAAGCGAAUAUGCAUCAAGUAUGACAUUCGAUAACGCAUUUGUUAUGGUCAGAAAGAAACGGGAAAGGUCUCGCAGGGGGGGUUAAAUCUUAUGCACUAACGAUCAAUUACAAUUGGUUUUUAACAAAAUAAUUCUGCUACAUAUACACUAAUGGAAACCUAAUCACUUUUAGUUGAUCAACAUUGCACAGGGUAAACAAUUAACUACGUGCGUCAAUAGCAUAACAGAAUUUUAAAUUAAACUUCCUAUUUUCCCAUAGCAUGAACAGUGAUUAGCCUACUUAAAAUACAGUAAUUAUGAUCACAGAAAGUAAAUAAAAUAAAAUAAAAAAAAAUAAAAAAAAAACAGAGGGGGGGGCGGUUGAACCGGCCCUAGGGCGGUUGAACCGGCCCUAGGCGGGGCGCGGGCGCGGGCGGCGCAGGGGGCGGCCGAACCGGGGGCGGGGGCGGCGCAGGGGGCGGCCGAGCCGGGGGGCGGGGCGGCCGAACCGGCGGGGCAGGGGGGCGGGUAGGGGGCGGCCGAGCCGGGGGGCGGGGCGGCCGAACCGGCGGGCAGGGAGGCGGCCGAACCGGCCAUGGGGAGAGGGGAUGGGGGAGGGAGGAGAGGGGGAGGGGGAAGCUCACCGGCGACGGGGACGGGGCGGCCGAGCGGGGCGGCCGAACGGCGACGGGGAGGGGCGGCGGCCUAGGCAGGGGCGGCGGCUAGGGCAGGGGGCGGGUAGGGGGCGGCGGCUUGGGUGGGGAGGGAGAAAAUGAGGGGGGAGAGGGAGAGGGUUAGGGGAUAAGGGAAAGAGGGGGGGGGCGGCUGGGCCUACUAGGCCCAAGAGGGGGGCGCCAGGGGGCGGCUGGGCCGGCCGGGGUCGGCCCACGGCGCGGGAGAGAGAGAAAAAAAAGGAGAGAGAAAGAGAGAGAGAAAAGAGAAAGAAAAGAGAAAGAAAACAUUUUCGAAAUCCGAUCUUUCUACAUGAAUGCAUUUGCACUUUCAAAGCAAUCAAAAGAAAUGCAAGGUUCGGCAUGGUGCAUCAAACAACAUAAAGUAUUUAGGGUUUUUAUACAUACGGGAAUUCCAAACCGAAUCCCGCUAGAACUUUGGAAAAGGUCAAGGUUUAGCGAGGGAAAAAGAAAAAGAAAAGGUAACGCCCGAAUUUUGGCGAGUAAAGAAAAGAAAAAAAAUUCAACUGCAAAAAUUCGGGGCGUUACACUACAGCAGCAACAAUUGUUGCCAUACAACCAGUUCUCUUUGAUGAACCCUGUCUUGUCGAGGCAGCAACCCAUCGUUGGAGGUGCCAUCUUUUAGAUAACAUAUGAGAUGUACUCGAUAAUGGUGCCCUCAUACCGGCAUGUGUUUCCUAGAAAUAACCAAUAUAUUGAUUGAGAUUUAUCUCGAUAUAUUUCUGAACUAUGUCCAUCAUAUAAAUAAUUGAAAACAUCAAAUCGUAAUUAUAAACUCAUGCUUGGCCAAUACAUAGACAAUGCGAUAUUACUUCAACAUCCCAAUGAUGUCCUAGCCCAACCUCUUGAAUGUUAGUGUUUUAAUGUGUGAGGGUAUAUUUAUAAGAUAGACGUGACUAUUUGCGCUUUUUCAGUACAUACACAUAUGGUAUGUUGAUUUGAUAUAGUGAUGGACACAUGCUUUGACCAUGAAUAUUCAAAUCAGUUGUACUUGCACGAAGCAAAACAUAAUAUAAGUUUAGGAGUACACUUAUAACUGUAUCCAAUCAUGCUCACACAAAUUCAUACCACAUUAUAAUUUUUUGGUAAAUAUUCCACACAUGUACUUUUUACAAGAACCCAAAUUUUGCAAACAAAUGUAGCAUUGUAGACAUGUAGAAUUCUUUGAAGCACGUGAACUUAACAACAUCAAGGUCAUUAAAUCAACUAGACCCUAUGAGUAACAAUUUCGAUAUUGCAAACACCAAAUUAUAGAACUUAUUGGCUGAAAAAUUAUGAGCAAUGUGAACUUUAAAUUAUUAUACCAUAAAUAUAUCAAAGAAUUUUUUUAGGAACGUAAAAAUUGCAUGGAAUGGGCUGCCCAACGUGCUAGCUCACUUCUAUGCUAGGCAGCAUUACCAAAGAUGGGAAUGUUGCUGAUGAACGCCAAACCCACUCAAAUAAUAUUUAUAUUUGGGUUGUUUAGUUGUAAAAGUGAAGACCCAAGAUAAAAGUACCAAUUGUCCAAUGACAUUCGAUUAUUUUGUUCGGGGAGCACUUGGUGCGUCAUUUGUACUCGUAUCUUAGUCCAAUAGAUUGUAUUUUCCUUCAAUGUGUAGAAUCCGACAAAGUGCAUGUUCUAAAAUUGUAAAUCUAACUAAAUUAGAAAGCUUGUUACUAAUUUGAUGGUUUAUUAGGUGUAGCUCAUAAAACUAGAACCAACAUAGCCUGCACUCACAUGUCAUAGAAAAUAGGAGUAUCCAAGCACAAUUUGUGUGAGCAUCCAUGACACAAAUUAUAUAUAGAGUGAUAUAAUUAAUUCCUUCAAAAUAAAAAAAGGAAAAAAUAAAGUGUUUUUUGAUACUGCAGGAUAUCUCUUUUAGCUAAUGAGGAGUACUAAAAAGUUGUUGCACUUUUGGGUGGCGAGAAUUCCUCAAUCAUAACUUUGACAUAAUUUUAAUCCAGAUCACAUAUAUAGCAUCAUAUCUUAAUUAUUAAAUUAAUAUGGUUCCAUCAUCGUAUUAUUAAUUCAAUCUGAUAUAACCAUCAAAUCUUAAUUAUUAAAUUAAUCUGGAGCAUACAUUAGAUUAUCAAACCAAAUCAACCCGACAUAACCAUCGAAUGUUUCGCUAUGCGCCUUAAGCGCAUGGUCUCAGGCUUAAUCAUCCGGAAUAACCAUUCGAUCUUCUGGUAAGCAUAGUAAGCGUAUGGUUCAUGGCUUCGUCAUCCGGAAUAACCAUCAUAUUUUCCGGUAUGCACUGAAAGCAAAUGAUCCGGGGUUUUGGUAGGUGAAACGUUGUUAGGUGAAUGCGGAUCCUGGCUGCUGUUGCACGUGUGAACUGCUGUGUGGAAGCUGCUGGGUCCUCCUCUAUUUUGCGUGGUUUGUGGCAGGCUUGGAAUUCUCUCAUGGCUUCGGUGCUUGGAACUGCUCGUACGUCCGGUCCUGCGUGCAUCUCUCUCUCUCUCCUGGCUGGAGGUGUGGUGGUCUGGCGGCUUGUCUGUGUUUUUCUUUUUACGACGGCUUCUCGUGUUGGCUAGGGUUGGCGUCAGGGGCCCGGUCAGCUAUGCUCCCUCUGCUUUUAUAGGCAGUGCACCACAGCAGGCAGAGCAGAGAUAAAGAUUCCAACUGCAUCCAUCUACAAACAAGGCUCUCGGUGGAAGGGAUAAAAGCAUGCAUCGCAAUUGCCGCUGCCCUGCUUUAGCCUUGAGUCUCGUCAAUUGGAUGACCAAAAGAUGUCACCGUCUAAGCUCUUUUCUUUGUGCAGCUGCCUGUUUGUCACCAACACAAAAUUGUAGGUGCAUGUUUGACACCAAUUAUCCUCUACCACAAAGAACUACAAUAGUGAUGGAGGAUCUGAUCCGGCACUGAUCCACUAUAAUGCAUAGUGGGUGAUGCAUGUCUAAUGGUGGUUGUUUAGUGUUAGUUUGGGCAUGUUGGAACUAAGCAAUUGUCGAUGCCAUACACUAGAUGUGAAGAAUGUUGUUAGCGUUAGGAGUAGAGGUGUCAAUGGGGACCGAUACCCGUUAAGCCAUGGAGAAUUUCUCUAUUAGAUUUAGGGUAUGGGAAAUUUUUUAUUUCCAUUUGCUGAAGUUAGGUAUACAUCUAUUUGAAUCAAUAGUUACAGUUCAACAGAAACUCCUUCCGCUCUAGUUUGUUUCAUGUCCUACCUUUUUCCUAAACUAGUGUUUCCUAAAUUGACAUACUCUCUAGAAAAUCUAUCCAAAUUUUGAAGAUCAAAUAUGUUCCAUUGAAUUAUUCAUGACAUAUAUCUUGGUAUUGCUUUUUGUCAUCAGAAUAUAUUUUGAACUCAGUAAAAGUUAUACACGAUUUUUUUAGACAAUACUAAAGCAAGUUGUAUCAAGAACACUGGAGGUGUGCGCCAAUUGCCACAUUUAGAUAUAAUCAUUCUAAUUUUGGUCAUCCUAUGUGUGUGCAUUCAUCUAUGCAUUCUAGGAUUUCAAUUAGUCUCAAUCUUGUAGUAUUUGUUCCUUCAUUGUCAAAUCACUUCUCAUCUAACUACUAUGCUUGUUUAACCAUCAGAACAUAACUACAACAAUAUCCAUUUAUAAAGGUUUUGAUAGCAAACUUUACAUAUUCAUAUCAUGUUAAGGUUGUCACAUGUGUAAAGGUGAAGAGAUCAUGCAUGUCAUUCCACGUAGAUGAAAAGAAUUCCUAUAUAAAAUGACACCUUUUCUUGUAGGUAGUGGAAAGUAUCUUUCCAGCAAAGACCAUAUAAUCCGAUAAAGUUGAUAACUAAAUGUCAAAAUAGAGUAGAUGCCAUAUCAUAUAUACCUUAUCUGUUGUUUGGAAAAAAAAGACUAAAUCCCAAAAAUAUAUAUGAGAUCUCACUUGUAUAAAUAGCUCCCAAAUUAGUAGUUAACCAUCACCCAUAAUAUUUUGAACAUUCAGAAACACACCUAGCGAAGCGCACUAGCAACGACCUAACAACAAUGGCUACCAAGAUAUUAUCCCUCCUUGCGCUUCUUGCCCUUUUUGUGAGCGCAACAAAUGCGUUCAUUAUUCCACAAUAUUAGUUAUACUCUUAAUGUCACGAUGUAUAUGUUUGAUUAAAUUGUUUAAUAGAUAUAAUCAAAGAUAAAUAACUUGCAUGGCUCCGUAGGAUAUUAUGUGUAUCUUGUUCAUGAUCACUAAUGGUCCUCAUAGGCACCAUUUGAUUUGCUGCUCCCAUUGUCUCAAUUUCCAUUGUAUUGUCAUCGUUGACCCCCGACGCUCGAAAUUCUGCAGGUGGUGUUACAAUAUGUCUCCGUGGACUCGUAGCACAGUUUGGAGAUUUAAGUCUUAGGGUGAGCGCUGUUGGUAGACCACUGUAUGUGUCUGCACGACGGCCACCAUAUUUGACUUUUUAUUUUAUAAACCGAUGUAUUUAUACAAAUAUUAAUGUACCUGAUGCAGCUCUGUGCAUGAUGCAGAAGAAACAUCACCAGUUUCUUCUUCUCCACCGUCAACCAUGGGUCAACAAUGCAGCGACGCCGCCAGUUCCCUUUCUUAUAUGCACCGCUCUGUCUAGUCUCGGGUAGCCAUGUUUACGCUAUUUUUUGUGGUCAUUUACGGUCUAUAAAGUUUGUUCCUGCAUGCAUGGAGAUAUUAUCGGAGACGUGACAACUACCCGAUAGAUUUUAUCUCGGUUUGUUGAAACAAUUUUGUAUUUACUCAACUAAAUGAAACCAGUUACGCAAUUUUCUGUAUAUAUUUAUGCCUGAGUUUCUGCUUACGUGCAUGCCAUGCAAUAUUCUCGGGAACUACCAAUUAUGGUUUGUGAUUUUAUCGCGUAUUCCGUUUAUGCUAAUAUUCAAACACGUUUACAUUUUGUUUGUUAAUGUUUAUGCUUUGGUUCGACCAACCAGAAAACCGCACAGAGAAACUUGGGCGCUGCCCGGAUCGAACAAAUUGGCUGGGGCUUCCCGAUACUAAUGGAAGCCCUAGGCUUCCAUUAGUUCGUCCAUAUAUAUAUAUAUAUAUAUAUAUAUAUAUAUAUAUAUAUAUAUAUAUAUAUAUAUAUAUAUAUAUAUAUAUAUAUAUAUAUAGUUUAUCUAUUUGGAGCCCUGGGCUUCCAAAAAAACAAGGAAGCCCUGAUCCAAAAAGUCUAUUCCGGUUCAGUGCAACCACAACCGGCCAACCCAACCACAAUCCCCCACGCUUGCGCGUACAUUUCAUUUUUUCCAUCAAUUCAGCCGAAACCGCCACCUUAAAUUAGGAUAUAUUAUUUUCCCCCAAAACAAACCCUAACCGGUCGGCCCAAUUCUCACGCGCUCGCCACAGAUCUAGCCCUGCCUACAGCGCUCUCGCUGCUGCACGUCCCGUUCACGUCGUCGUCCGCCCCUGGCCCUUGCCUCACCGACUCGUGGCCGUCGGCAGCUCCACGUGGGACACGGCCACGCCUGACGCCUCCACCUCCACGACUCAGCUGACGGCUCCUCUCCAUGGGACGGUGCAUGACGACGCCAUGGCGGUUCACCGGCUCCAACCUUCCCCCUCCGGCCUACAGUCCUCCACCGUCCGGUCGCCAGUGGUCCUCCAUGGGCCAUGGCUGACGGGUGCACGCACCGGUAUUCAUCCCUUGCUGCUCUAUUCCCAAUGCUCUAGCUCGUGUACUAGUUGUGCAGCCUGUCGCCUAGCCCUGCUCCGGCGUGAAGUCCUGAUGCUUCUAGUUGUUUUUGUCUUAAAUAAAGAUGCUAGUAUGCAUGUGGCUAUGUGAGGUCUAUUGCAUCCGAUUUAGUGCUGCACAUUUAAGUAAUCUUGAUGAUUGAUUCAAGCAAUUUUUUACUUGGCCUUUAUAUUCUAGAUUAUUGUAACCGGUUGAAACUAAGAGAUACAUGAUGAUUUUCUAAAUCAUAAAUAUAUUUAUAUUGCAUAAUCUUCUACCUAAGGCCUUAGUGCCUAUCCUUAACAAAUAUUUUUUUAUACUUGAUUCUACUGUGUAGGUAUGACAGGUCGUUCAACGAGCACCUCAUUAUCCAGAGUCUCACAAUUUAAAUUGUUUGAUUUCUAAAGUCCAAUUAUAUUUCUAGUCAGCAAUCACAUAUUAACUACACAAGCAAAGUGCAGAGAUAUAUUAUGUUCCUUUUUGAAACAAGUUAUUUCUUACAAUACCAUUUUCAUUGUGUUCUUUUCAUUGUAUUUUUCCUUCAUCUAUCAUGUCACGUUGUGGUUGUGGACCUGGCUAGCUUCAAUCAUGCUUUUCCUUUUUCAGUUUCGCCUUUUCCAGUGGUAAUACUUGACAGAGAAAUCCUGAACCAAGCGCAAACCUUCUGCAAGACCUGGUAACUUAUUUUAGGGGCUAGAAAUAGGCGACGACAGUUCAGGCCUUGUUUUUUACACCAAUCCAACCCUGGAUUAGCAAUGAUUUUUAUGCAGCUCUUGUUUGUUACGACUACUCAUGGCACCAUUUAUGCAUACAUCUGAACUAUUUAUGCUGUUGAUAUGUUUCUAGUGUGGCAAUGAUUUUUUUACAUAUAGAUGCUUACCAAAAGUUCAAAAUCUUUCCGGUCGGUAGCAGUAGAAGCAGCACACCCAAUUUGUCAUACACUCUGUAAUUUUUAUUUCCUAAAUAUGUCUUUUUAUGCUAAUUUGAAUACGCUAUUACGCCCAAUUACUAGAUCGCGCGUAUGCUCCAUUUUGUAAACACGUAGACCACCAAAUUGUACAUUUUUUAUGUUCUUUUUAUGCUUUUAUUCUGAGUUGAAUUGGUCCUCACAUGAUCAUGCAUCAAUACCCAAUGGUUCAGACUCAUCUAAUGCUUCUGCUUCCUUACAUGAACAUGCAUUAGCACAUCAGUCAUCUAGCGCUACUUACUAUAACAAGCACACAUUAUCCACCGAUAUGAUUCUUAUUCCUGCUAAUUUUAAUGUGUUAUUAUGCUCAAUUAUCAGAUCUCGUGUACGCUCCGCAUUGUAAACACGUAGACCAAUUCUCCUACAUUGUUUUUGUUCUUCCUUUUAUGCUUUUACGAUGAUUUGAAUUGGUCCUUUUCAGAACAAUGCACCCCCAGUACGUAGUCCACUCUAGAGCAGUAUACGACAGAUACGCCCAGUACCUCCAGUAAGUAUAUGCUCUUUAUUUUUGUGAUCUACUGCCCAAGUAUCCAGAAGGCAAACUAGAUUUUGAUGUCUGCAUAUUAAAAUUGCCGAUAUCAAAUAAAUCGUCCAUGAGUUGUCCUAGAGUUUCUAGUGUGAAGGAUAUGCAUUGAAUCAGUUUUAUAUGUUUUCGGAAUGAUGGACAAGGUACAACAUGAUAGGAGAAUUUUUUUACACCCUAGUUAUCUUGUUUUAAUUCACCCUUUUUGCGCUCCAAUUAUUUUGGUGAAUCUUAGCAUAGAACUUGACCUUAUAUUAUUUUGUAUGUUUGGUUUGCAUGGGAUAUAUUUAUGAACAUUGAUAUCGUUUUUAUGCUUACUGACAGAAUGCAUAUGGCCUGAAAAUGGAGAAUUGAGGUAUAAAAUAUCGGCUCUUCACUGUCAUAUGCAUUCAUUAGCUUUUUGGUGAUUGGCUCAAUUUAAUGGUUGGUGCACUCAUGCAAUUUUGAACUAAAACAACAACUUGUUUGCACUAUCCAUGCAUAUUGAUAUUGCUAUUGUAGCAACUGCUAUAAAUAACUGUGGCACCAUUUAUGCAUACACUCCACUAUAUAUGUGUUUUGAUUUGUUAUGAUCAGAAAUUCCAUUAUUAACGACUGAAUUUUGGUGUGCUGAUGCUAUAACCUGUGACAUCCAGCUAUUUUCUUGAUUUGUUACAUCUUUUUGUCAAUCUUAAUCUUAUUUUAUUUGAUUUAUUGCAUCAUCCAUUUGAAUAUAGACAUAAAAACCAAGAGCUAAAAUGAAUACUAUUUCCAGUUCUAGGCGGCAUUAUAAAUUCUAUUUUUUUCUUAUAAUGAUGUGAAUCUUGAUGGUUUAAUACUAUUGUUUUAGGACAAUUAUUAUGGUUUCAUACUAUUUCCAGUUCUUUAGUCAUGGAUUUUUUUUCAGAAGUUGAUGAACUCUACCUUCGCAGGAUCUAGUUCCUUGAAUCUUACUGUCUUUUGAGUUUGAGCAUAUACUGAUGUGGAGAGGAAGUGAUUGGAAAUCAUCUCUUCCUCCAUUAGAAAAUAGUUAUGAAGUGACAAAGGUGCAAGAAAGUUUUAGUGGCAAAGAAUCUAAUGAAAAGGUUACACAUUCAGGAAAUGUUCUGAUCCAGAUUUAGUUGGUCAGUGUUGCAACAUCUCACAAGAACUGGAACUUGGAUGAAGGUCAAGAAAAAUUUAAAGAUUCCACUGACAGUGAUAUGGUACUGAAUUCUGCAAAGGAUGUUCCUGCAUUGUUCCAUUCUACAGGUAUAUCUAGAACUGAACCCUCAGCAGACAUUGCAUUGGAAUAUUCCCCAUUAAAUCCAGUAUGUGAUAUUAUGGAUCCAUCCCUGAACUGCCGAAGUAUCCCAACAAACAAAUGUGAAAGUAGAGCUCUGGUAGAGAAGUCAGAACAUUGUCCGAAUGAUUAUAAUUUGGAAAUGAAGGGGAAAAGAAACGAUGGUACAAAAUGUACAGUUGUUCUAAAUAGCGGUUCUAAAGUAGAGGGAUUGUUAUGUCUUUUGGAGCAAGCCAUUCACAGUGGCAGGGCACUUGUUCUGAGUGAAGAUGAACUUGCUGAUUCAGAUCUGGUCUAUGAAAAGUCUGUUGCUUUUAGAAAGUCAAUUCUGCGAAGACUGGUUUUUGAGAAUACUCGAAGGAAGUCCAGUGCCAGGAGAAAUGUGCCAGACAAUCAUGCAAGAACUAAAACACAUAUUAUAGCAAAUAAAAUGUUGAGCAGUCCUGUUGAAAAUAAAUUUAUCGUUAAUGGAGGAUCUGCAAUGCAGACAAUUGACCAUGGACAAGAGUGUCUUUCUGGUGUUGUUCAUCAAGGUACCUUAAGAGUAGAUGAACUAGCAAAGUUACUAGCUUGAGAGGUGAUUGCUCUUUUAUCAACCACAUAGACCAGUAUCAACAUCCUUUGAAACAUAUGCAAGAUUUGCAUGAACUCUGAAUUUGGUUAAAACAAGUCUCAGGUCUGUUGCGUCGUGGCGAGUCCUUUUUAACCUUGAAAUAUUGAACUAUAAUCAUGUGCGAUGUACAAACAACCUUCCGAAUACAUAUUCUCUGAUUUGUCUGUUGUCACCAUAAUUGGCCACUGAUAAAUAACCCUUCUGUUUUAUGUGACAAAAAAUGGUCCACACGAUGCGUUUUACGUUCAAAAACUUCUACGCGACAUGCACGGAAACUAACGCUAAACAUGCGUGAUUUAAACGUCGUAAUUCGUUACGAAACAGAUCAACGAUUUAUGCUAAAAUUCACACCCAUUUACGCUAUUUUGGAUCAUAUUUUACGCAAAAAUCCGCCCGAGCCAGAACCCGCGCAUGAUCCGACGCGCGCGAUUUUUACGCCGUAAUUUUUGGGCCACAUUCGUCGUUAUGAAACUAAGUUACGAUUUACGCUAAAAUUUUUACCCAUUUACGUUGUUUUGGUUAACGUUUUACGCAAAAAUCCAUCCAAGCCAGAACCCGCGCAUGAUCGGACGCGCGCAAUUUUUACGCCGUAAUUUUUGGGCCCUAUUCGUCGUUACAAAACAGAUCUAUGAUUUACGCUAAAAUUCAUAACCAUUUACGCUGUUUUGGUUCACGUUUUACGCAAAAAUUCGCCCAAUCCAGAUUCCGCGCACGAUCGGAAGCGCGCGAUUUUUACACCGUAAUAUUUGGGCCCAUUCGUUGUUAUGAAAUAGAUCUACGAUUUACGCUAAAAUUCGUACUCAUUUACGCUGGUUUGGUUCACGUUUUACGCUAAAAUCUGCCUGAGACAGAACCGUGCACGAUCGGAUGCACGCCUACCUGCGCGUAGGUAUACCUGGCUGGGGCUUCUCGGUACUAAUGGAAGCCCUGGGCUUCCAUUAGCUCGUGUAUAUAUAUAUAUAUAUAUAUAUAUAUAUAUAUAUAUAUAUAUAUAUAUAUAUAUAUAUAUAUAUAUAUAUAUAUAUAUAUAUAUAUAUAUAUAUAUAUAUAUAUAUAUAUAUAUCAAACUUCAUUAGAUUUGUAUAUUUAUCACCUAAAUUGCAAAUGUAUAGUGUCGUUCCUUCUAUGUAUGGACUAAAUGGUGAAUUACAUACUUCUUUAACAUAUUUAAUUGAGGUUUUCUUGGCCCUGUUCAAAUGUUUUUAAACAGCCUACAAUACAGCGUUGACCUUUGUUUACCAUUUAAAUGCUGUUCAAACAGGUUAGAUAUAACGGUGGUUGCGACUGAAUGCCGAGGCAUGCAUUUCUACAAGGUGGUUUAUUAACUAGGGUCCACUCCUUCAUAUGUACCCACAUAUAUACAAGGUGGUUUUUUAACGAUAGGAAUAACUACACCUGGGAGUAGGAAAAAUGCACCAUAUAUAUAUGUCAAACUUCAACUAUAUAUUAGAACCAUUUGAGACUUUCUGAUUGGUGUCCUUCGCAAAUAUAACCUCAUGGUAUGGCUUAUAUGACAGAACAUCCAUUAGAUGUGUGUGAAAGAGAGGACGCUACACCUGCUGAGUGAGGAUGCUGAUUGAAUUGCUGCUGCAUAUAUAUUGGUUUCGAUGAAUUGCCAUAAGCGGAUAUGUGGCCCAUGCACUCCUGUUGCACCAUUCAUGUGUCCAUCUGAUAAACCAUAUGCAGAUGAGUUGUCCAGCAUGUCUGAAUGUAUUCCAGAAUUAUUGUGGCCUAUGCUGAAUCUGAUUGCAAUUUUGGUUGCUAGAAAAUUGGAUCUGGAUCCGGAGCUGAAUCCUGGAGUUGGGAUCCUGUUGAUUACUGAAUCUGGAGCUGCACAUUCUGUUGAUUACUGAAUCCUGGAGUUGGGAUCAUGUCUCAUGUGAGCUGAACCAACUGAACCCGGCCCAUCGUAGAUUGUACGUUAUUUGUGGUAGAUUUUGUGGAAUGCCAGAAUUUAAAUGCUGGUAGCCAUUGGACCUGUGUGGAGGAAUUAAGAGUGGGUUACUAUAAAAACAAAAUGUUAUUCUUUUACAAUUUUUUGUUAAUACACAUGGCUCUGUUCCUGAUGCAGCAUUUCCUAUAUAUAGACUUGAUGAAACAUUUCCUGAUGAAGCUUUCUUUUUCUUAACAGGUCAGUGGAGGUGACGUUUAGUACGAAAUGAGGACACAUGUCACUUAUCUGCUGCGAAUACUGCCGUCGGACAAAAAAACUUAUAACUUUUUGUGCAAUCAGCAAUUACUAAUAUGCUGCUCGCGAUGAAUGAUGUGUGUAUGCUACUUUUGGACCUGUGGUAUCUAAGGCUGCCAACCAUAAUGUUUUGGCAAACACAAAUCCGUGUGGCUAAACAAAAAUCUUGAUGCAUGUUGUAUGAUCCAGCUAACAUCAAUGCCGCUUUAUUGUAAAUGUUUAUGUUUUUACUAUAUGACUUACUAUAUGUGUUGAUUAUAUUGCAAAUAUUUUUAUCUCCUCCCAUUCUCGGCGCCUCCUGUUCUAGUUUGUACAUAAUGAAGGGUAGACUCACAGCAUAGCUGGUGCAAGGGAAAAAAUGUUGCAUAAAAUAUGUCAUUUCCAUUUUUUGAGGAAACAUGUCAACAUUGACAUUUGCUGAAGUUAGGUAUACAUCUAUUUGAAUCAACAGUUACAGUUCAACAUAUACUCCUUCCGCUCUAGCUUGUUGCGUGUCCUACUUUUUUUCUAAAUCACUUUUCUCUAAAUUGACAUACUCCCUAGAAAAUCUAUCCAAAUUUUGAAGAUCAAAUUUGUUCCAUUGAAUUAUUCAUGACAUCUAUCUUGGUAUUGCUUUUUAAUAAUCAGAAUAUAUUUUGAUCUCAACAAAAGUUAUACACGAUUCUUUUUAGACAAUACUAAAGCAAAUUGUAAUCAAGAACACUUGAGGUUCGCACCAAUUGCCACAUUUAGAUAUAAGCAUUCUAAUUUUGGUCAUCCUAUGUGUGUGCAUUCAUCUAAGCAUUCUAGGAUUUCAAUUAGUCUAUAUCUUGUAGUAUUUGUUCCUUCAUUGUCAAUUCACUUCUCAUCUAACUACUAUGAUUGUUUAACCAGUAGAACAUAACUACGACAAUAUCCAUUUAUAAAGACUUUGAUAGCAAACUUUACAUAUUCAUAUCAUGUUAAGGUUGUCACAUGUGUAAAGGUGAAGAGAUCAUGCAUGUCAUUCCACGUAGAUGAAAAAAUUCCUAUAUAAAAAUGACACCUUUUCUUGUAGGUAGUGGAAAGUACCUUUCCAGCAAAGAUCAUAUAUAUAAUCCGAUAAAGCUGAAAACUAAAUGUCGAAAUCGAGUAGAUGCCAUAUCAUCUAUACCUUAUCUCUUGUUUGGAAAAAAGACAAAACCAAAAAAUAUUUAUGAGGUCUCACUUGUAUAAAUAGCUCCCAAAUCAGUAGUUAAUCCAUCACCUAUAAUAUUUUGAGCAUUCAGAAACACACCAAGCGAAGCACAUUAGCAACAACCUAACAACAAUGGCUACCAAGAUAUUAUCCCUCCUUGCGCUUCUUGCGCUUUUUGCGAGCGCAACAAAUGCGUUCAUUAUUCCACAAUGCUCACUUGCUCCAAGUUCCAUUAUUACACAGUUCCUCCCACCAGUUACUUCAAUGGGCUUCGAACACCCAGCUGUGCAAGCCUAUAGGCUACAACAAGCAAUUGCGGCGAGCGUCUUACAACAACCAAUUUCCCAGUUGCAACAACAAUCCUUGGCACAUCUAACAAUACAAACCAUCGCAACGCAACAGCAACAACAAUUCCUACCAGCACUGAGCCACCUAGCCAUGGUGAACCCUGCCGCCUACUUGCAACAGCAGUUGCUUGCAUCAAACCCACUUGCUCUGGCAAACGUAGUUGCAAACCAGCCACAACAACAGCUGCAACAGUUUCUGCCAGCGCUCAGUCAACUAGCCAUGGUGAACCCUGCCGCCUACCUACAACAGCAACAACUGCUUUCAUCUAGCCCGCUCGCUGUGGCCAAUGCACCUACAUACCUGCAACAACAAUUGUUGCAACAGAUUGUACCAGCUCUGACUCAGCUAGUUGUGGCAAACCCUGCUGCCUACUUGCAACAGCUGCUUCCAUUCAACCAACUGACUAUGUCGAACUCUGCUGCGUACCUACAACAGCGACAACAGUUACUUAAUCCACUAGCAGUGGCUAACCCAUUGGUCGCUGCCUUCCUACAGCAGCAACAAUUGCUGCCAUACAACCAGUUCUCUUUGAUAAACCCUGUCUUGUCGAGGCAGCAACCCAUCGUUGGAGGUGCCAUCUUUUAGAUUACAUAUGAGAUGUACUCGAUAAUGGUGCCCUCAUUCCGGCAUGUGUUUCCUAGAAAUAAUCAAUAUAUUGAUUGAGAUUUAUCUCAAUAUAUUUCUGAACUAUGUUCAUCAUAUAAAUAAUUGAAAACAUCAAAUCGUAAUUAUAAACUCAUGCUUGGUCAAUACAUAGACAAUGCGAUAUUACUUCAACAUCCCAAUGAUGUCCUAGCCCAACCUCUUGAAUGUUACUGUUUUAAUGUGUGAGGGUAUAUUUAUAAGAUAGACGUGACUACUCGCGCUUUUUUUAGUACAUACAUAUAUGGUAUGUUGAUUUGAUUAGUGAUGGACACAUGCUUUGACCAUGAAUAUUCAAAUGAGGUGUAUUUGCACGAAGCAAAACAUAAUAUAAGUUUAGGAGUAGACUUAUAACUGUGUCCAAACAUGCUCACACAAAUUCAUACCACAUUAUAAUUUUUUGGUAAAUAUUCCACACGUAUUUUUUACAAGAACCCAAAUUUUGCAGAUAAAUGCAGCAUUGUAGACAUGUAUAAUUCUUUGAAGCCCCUGAACUUAACAGCACCAAGGUCAUUAAAUCAACUGGACCCUAUGAGUAACAAUUUCAAUAUUGCAAACACCAAAUUAUAGAACUUAUUGGCUGAAAAAUUAUGAGCAAUGUGAAGUUUAAAUUAUUAUACCAUAAAUAUAUCAAAGAAUUUUUUUUGAGGAACGUAAAAAUUGCAUGGAAUGGGCUGCCCAACGUGCUAGCUCACUUCUAUGCUAGGUAUCAUUACCAAAGAUGGGAAUGUUGCUAAUGAACGCCAAACCCACUCAUAUAAUAUUUAUAUUUGGGUUGUUUAGUUGUAAAAGUGAAGACCCAAGAUAAAAGUACCAAUUGUUCAAUGACAUUCGAUUAUUUUGUUCGGGGAGCACUUGGUGCGUCAUUUGGACUCAUAUCUUAGUCCAAUAGAUUGCAUUUUCCUUCAAUGUGUAGAAUCCGACAAAGUGCAUGUUCUAAAAUUGUAAAUCUAACUAAAUUAGAAAGCUUGUUACUAAUUUGAUGGUUUAUUAGGUGUACCUCAUAAAACUAGAACCAACAUAGCCUGCACUCACGUGUCAUAGAAAAUAGGAGUAUCCAAGCACAAUUUAUGUGAGCAUCCAUCACACAAAUUAUAUAUAGACUGAUAUAAUUAAUUCCUUCAAAAAUAAAAAAGGAAAAAAUAAAGUGUUUUUUUGAUAUUGCAGGAUAUCUCCUUUAACUAAUGAGGAGUACUAAAAAGAUGUUGCACUUUUGGGUGGCGAGAAUUCCUCAAUCAUAACUUUGACAUAAUUUUAAUCCGGAUCACAUAUAUCAUCAUAUCUUAAUUAUUAAAUUAAUAUGUGUCGGAGAGGGAAUUCUCCGGCCGGGUGGCGGAAUGCACCCGCCCUAAAUCCUAAGAUGAGGAAGGGGCUUAAGUGUUUUGCCUGUCUUGCUAAGCGAUCACCGAGCACACGAACACGCGAGGAUUUAGAGUGGUUCGGGCCGCCAGAGCGUAAUACCCUACUCCACUGUGUGUUGGAUUGCUGUGGAAGCUUGAGAGCUGAGAGUCUGAGUCCUUUGUCUGUGUUGCGUGCCCUCCCUUUUAUAGCUCAAGGGGGGCAUGUACAAGGACACUGAACCCCGACAUGUGGGCCUAGGGACAUAACAGAUGGAAUACUCGGAGCAACUAAUAUCAGUCACCUUGUGCAAUCAUCCUGUGCCCCGAUAUCCGCCGCUAGAGUAGCAUUGGCGUGCAGCAGAAGGUUCCCCGGCAUCGUACAAGUCAUGAUGGCCAUCGCACGCGCGCUGCGGUAUGGGCGUACUGCCCACUGUCUGAUUGGACAGGCACGUCGCCUGUAGAGUGGUCUGGUCGUCGCCUGUCAUCAGAGUGGACGGGGCACAUUAAAUGCCGAGACGGCACAUCGCCUGUCAGCAGGGCGGACAGGCGGCGCGUCCUCUCCGCAAUAAAUGUAGAGAUCACGUGGCUCAAAGGCCUUACGUCAGGCUCCACCCGCCGGCUUACGUCACGAGCAAUAGGCCGCGUGGCAGCAUUAGGUCCUCGCCUGAGCGGGGAGCGGAAGUACACCAGGCAAGACCCUGACAAGUGUCUACGCCGGACCCCUGUACGUCCUUGACUUAGGCCAGGGUAUUCUUCAUCCCGGGAUCUUGCUGUGGGUGGCUUGGACCUCACUUAGAGGGGUCCAGGUCCCAUCCAAGGGAACAUGGAGGUCCUGGGUCGUACCCGGAGGUCCGAGUCAUGUAUGCUGGGGUCCGACACUUUCCCAUGGGGGUCCGGAUUCACUGACGAUAUCACGGUAUGUGUUACCUUCUCUGGUCACUUGGCGGCCCCGGAGUCGCCCACGUGGUGGGGUCGGGCGUUGUUUACCGUGCGUCUAGAGAUAGACGUGCGGGUACCGCGCCUUCAUACUAUAGUAAGGGGUACUCCUGUUCCAGGGUAUCGACAAUAUGGUUCCAUCAUCGUAUUAUUAAUUCAAUCUAAUAUAACCAUCAGAUCUUAAUUAUUAAAUUAAUCUGGAGUGUACAUUAGAUUAUCAAACCAAAUCAACCCGACAUAACCAUCAAAUGUUCCGCUAUGCACCUUAAGCGCAUGGUCUAGGGAUUAAUCAUCCGGAAUAACCAUCCGAUCUUCUAGUAAGCAUAGUAAGUGUAUGGUUCACGACUUCAUCAUCCAGAAUAACCAUCAGAUUUUCCGGUGUGCACUGAAAGCAAAUGAUCCGCGGUUUUGGUAGGUGAAACGUUGUUAGGUGAAUGCGGAUGUUGGCUGUUGUUGCACGUGCGAACUGUUGUGUGGAAGCUGCUGGGUCCUCCUCUAUUGUGCGUGGCUUGUGGCGGGCUUGGACUACUCUCAUGGCUUCGGCGCUUGGAACUGCUCGUCUGUCCGGUCCUGCGUGCAUCUCUCUCUCCUGGCUGGAGGUGUGGUGGCCUGGCGGCUUCUCUGUGUUUUUCUUUUUAUGAUGACUUCUCGUGUUGGCUAGGGUUGGCGUUAGGGGCUCGGUCAGUUAUGCUCCCUCAGCUUUUAUAGGCAGCGCACCAUAGCAGGCAGAGCAGAGAUAAAGAUUCCAAUUGCAUCCAUCUACAAACAAGGCUCUCGGCGGAAGGGAUAAAAGCAUGCAUCGCAAUUACUGCUGCUCUGCUGCAACCUUGGCUCUCGUCAAUUGGAUGACCAAAAGAUGCCAACGUCUAAGAUCUUUUCUUUGUGCAGCUGCCUGUUUGUCACCAACACAAAAUUGUAGGUGCCUGUUUGUCACCAAUUAUCCUCUACCACAAAGAACUACAAUAGUGAUGGAGGAUCCGAUCCAGCACAGAUCCACUAUAAUGCAUAGUGGGUGAUGCAUGCCUAAUGGUGGUUGUUUAGUGUUAGUUUGGGCAUGUUGGAACUAAGCAAUUGUCGAUGCCAUACACUAGAAGUGAAGAAUGUUGUUAGCGUUAGGAGUAGAGGUGUCAAUGGGGACCGAUACCCGUUAAGCCAUGGAGAAUUUCUCUAUUAGAUUUAGGGUAUGGGAAGAUUUUAAUUUCCAUUUGCUGAAGUUAGGUAUACAUCUAUUUGAAUCAACAGUUACAGUUCAACAGAAACUCCUUCCGCUAUAGUUUGUUGCAUGUCCUACCUUUUUCCUAAACUAUUUUCCCUAAAUUGACAUACUCUCUAGAAAAUCUAUCCAAAUUUUGAAGAUCAAAUCUGUUCCAUUGAACUAUUCAUGACAUAUAUCUUGGUAUUGCUUUUUGUCAUCAGAAUAUAUUUUGAACUCAGUAAAAGUUAUACACGAUUUUUUUAGACAAUACUAAAGCAAGUUGUAAUCAAGAACACUUGAGGUGUGCGCCAAUUGCCACAUUUAGAUAUAAUCAUUAUAAUUUUGGUCAUCCUAUAUGUGUGCAUUCAUCUAUGCAUUCUAGGAUUUCAAUUAGUCUCAAUCUUGUAGUAUUUGUUCCUUCAUUGUCAAAUCACUUCUCAUCUAACUACUAUGCUUUUUUAACCAUCAGAACGUAACUCCAACAGUAUCCAUUUAUAAAGGUUUUGAUAGCAAACUUUACAUAUUCAUAUCAUGUUAAGGUUGUCACAUGUGUAAAGGUGAAGAGAUCAUGCAUGUCAUUCCACGUAGAUGAAAAGAAUUCCUAUAUAAAAUGACACCUUUUCUUGUAGGUAGUGGAAAGUAUCUUUCCAGCAAAGACCAUAUAAUCCAAUAAAGUUGAUAACUAAAUGUCGAAAUAGAGUAGAUGCCAUAUCAUUUAUACCUUAUCUGUUGUUUGGAAAAAAAGACUAAAUCCAAAAUAUAUAUGACAUCUCACUUGUAUAAAUAGCUCCCAAAUCAGCAGUUAACCAUCACCCAUAAUAUUUUGAACAUUUAGAAACACACACCUAGCGAAGCGCACUAGCAACGACCUAACAACAAUGGCUACCAAGAUAUUAGCCCUUCUUGCGCUUCUUGCCCUUUUUGUGAGCGCAACAAAUGCGUUCAUUAUUUCACAAUGCUCACUUGCUCCUAGUGCCAUUAUUCCACAAUUCCUCCCACCAGUUACUUCAAUGGGCUUCGAACACCCAGCUGUGCAUGCCUACAGGCUACAACAAGCGCUUGCGGCGAGCGUCUUACAACAACCAAUUGCCCAAUUACAGCAACAAUCCUUGGCACAUCUAACAAUACAAACCAUCGCAACGCAACAGCAACAACAGUUCCUACCAGCACUGAGCCACCUAGCCAUGGUGAACCCUGCCGCCUACUUGCAACAGCAACUGCUUGCAUCCAACCCACUUGCUCUGGCAAACGUAGUUGCACACCAGCAACAACAACAGCUGCAACAGUUUCUGCCAGCGCUCAGUCAACUAGCCAUGGUGAACCCUGCCGCCUACCUACAACAGCAACAACUGCUUUCAUCUACCCCGCUCGUUCUGGCCAAUGCACCUACAUACCUGCAACAACAAUUGUUGCAAUAGAAUCUACCAGCUCUGACUCAGCUAGCUAUGGCAAACCCUGCUGCCUACUUGCAACAGCUGCUUCCAUUCAACCAACUGAUUGUGUCGAACUCUGUUGCGUACCUACAACAACGACAAUAGUUACUUAAUCCACUAGCAGUGGCUACCCCAUUGGUCGCUGCCUUCCUACAGCAGCAACAAUUGCUGCCAUACAACCAGUUCUCUUUGAUGAACCCUGUCUUGUCGAGGCAGCAACCCAUCGUUGGAGGUGCCAUCUUUUAGAUUACAUAUGAGAUGUACUUGAUAAUGGCGCCCUCAUACCGGCAUGUGUUUCCUAGAAAUAAUCAAUAUAUUCAUUGAGAUUUAUCUCGAUAUAUUUCUGAACUAUGUUCAUUAUAUAAAUAAUUGAAAACAUCAAAUCAUAAUUAUAAACUCAUGCUUGGUCAAUACAUAGACAAUGCGAUAUUACUUCAACAUCCCAAUGAUGUCCUAGCCCAACCUCUUGAAUGUUACUGUUUUAAUGCGUGAGGGUAUAUUUAUAAGAUACACGUCACUAUUUGCGCUUUUUUUAGUACAUACAUAUUUUGUAUGUUGAUAUGAUAUAGUUAUGGACACAUGCUUUGACCAUGAAUAUUCAAAUCAGUUGUACUUGCACGAAGCAAAACAUAAUAUAAUUUAGGAGUACACUUAUAACUGUGUCCAAACAUGCUCACACAAAUUCAUACCACAUUAUAUUUUUUGGUAAAUAUUCCACACAUGUAUUUUUUACAAGAACCCAAAUUUUGCAGACAAAUGCAGCAUUAUAGACAUGUAGAAUUAUUUGAAGCCCGUGAACGUAACAACACCAAGGUCAUUAAAUCAACUGGACCCUAUGAGUAACAAUUUCGAUAUUGCAAACACCAAAUUAUAGAACUUAUUGGCUGAAAAAUUAUGAGCAAUGUGAAGUUUUAAUUAUUAUGCCAUAAAUAUAUCAAAUUAUUUUUUUGAGGAACGUAAAAAUUGCAUGGAAUGGGCUGCAUAACGUGCUAGCUCACUUCUAUGCUAGGUAGCAUUACCAAAGAUUGGAAUGUUGCUGAUGAACACCAAACCCACUCAAAUAAUAUUUAUAUUUGGGUUGUUUAGUUGUAAAAGUGAAGACCCAAGAUAAAAGUACCAAUUGUCCAAUGACAUUCGAUUAUUUUGUUCGGGGAGCACUUGGUGCGUCAUUUGGACUCGUAUCUUAGUCCAAUAGAUUGCAUUUUCCUUCAAUGUGUAGAAUCCGACAAAGUGCAUGUUCUAAAAUUGUAAAUCUAACUAAAUUAGAAAGCUUGUUACUAAUUUGAUGGUUAAUUAGGUGUAGCUCAUAAAACUAGAACCAACAUAGUUUGCACUCACAUGUUAUAGAAAAUAGGAGUAUCCAAGCACAAUUUGUGUGAGCAUCCAUGACACAAAUUAUAUAUAGACUGAUAUAAUUAAUUCCUUCAAAAAUAAAAAAAGGAAAAAAUAAAGUGUUUUUUGAUAAUGCAGGAUAUCUCCUUUAGCUAAUGAGGAGUACUAAAAAGAUGUUGCACUUUUGGGUGGCCAGAAUUCCUCAAUCAUAACUUUGACAUAAUUUUAAUCUGGAUCAUAUAUAUAGCAUCAUAUCUUAAUUAUUAAAUUAAUAUGGUUCCAUCAUCGUAUUAUUAAUUCAAUCCGAUAUAACCAUCAGAUCUUAAUUAUUAAAUUAAUCUGGAGCGUACAUUAGAUUAUCAAACCAAAUCAACCCGACAUAACCAUCGAAUGUUCCGCUAUGCACCUUAAGCGCAUGGUAUGGGGCUUAAUCAUCCGGAAUAACCAUCCAAUCUUCUGGUAAGCAUAGUAAGCGUAUGGUUCACGGCUUCGUCAUCCGGAAUAACCAUCAGAUUUUCUGGUGUGUACUGAAAGCAAAUGAUCCAGGGUUUUGGUACGUGAAACAUUGUUAGGUGAAUGCAGAUGCUGGCUACUGUUGCACAUGCGAACUGCUGUGUGGAAGCUGUUGGGUCCUCCUCUAUUAUGCGUGGCUUGUGGCGGGCUUGGACUGCUCUCAUGGCCUCACCAGCUGCAACGACCAGAGCGGUACCCCUUACUAAAGUAUGAAGACACGGAGCCUGUACGACGUUCUCUAGCCACACGGUGAACAACACCCAACCCCACCACAUGGGCGGCUUAGGGGGCACCACGUGGCGAGAAAAGAUGAUACAUCGCAGGAUGUAUCAGUUGGACCGGACCACCGCAAGAAAGCAUCGGACCCCUGUACGCAAAACCCGGAUCCCCGAUUAUGGUCCGGGACUCCCAAGCAAGCAUGUCGGGUCCCUUGGAUGGGGUCCAGAUCCCUCCGAGUAAGGUCCGGGCCACAACGAGGUCCCAUAACAGGGGAGACCCUGGCAUAAGCAAGGGUCCGAUACUGACACGUGUCCAGGCCUUAUCCUGUGCGCUUGCGCUCCCCGCUCAGGCGGAGACCCGAUGCUGCCACGUGGCUUGUUGCCCAUGACAUAAGCCAGCGGGCGGAGCCUGACGUAAGGCCUCUAGGCCGCGCGGUCUCUGCAUUUAUUGAGGAGAGGACGCGCCGCCUGUCCACCCUGCUGACAGGCAAAGUGCCCCCUCAGCAUUUAAUGCGUCCUGUCCACUCCGCAGGCAGGAGGCGCCAGGGCCAUCUUGCAGACGGUGCACCUGUCCAGUCCAUUGUCAAACAGUGCGCCCGUGCUGCGCGGCGCACUAUGCUCAUCAUCCCUUAUACGAGAAGCUUCCCCUGCACGCCGAUGCUACGCAGAUCUCGGAUGUCAGGGUGCAAGAAGAUUGCUCCAGCAACAAACAUUAGUAGCUCCAAGUACUACAUCCGUUAUGUUCCUGUGCCCACAUGUAGGGGCUCAGUGCUCUUGUACAUGCCCCCCUUAGCUAUAAAAGGGGAGGCAUGCAACGUUACGGAGGGGCUCUCUUGGACAAAAAACUGAGACUCUCAGCUCUCAAGCCUCCACAGCAAUCCAACACACACUGGAGUAGGGUAUUACACUCCGGCGGCCCGAACCACUCUAAAUCCUCACGUGUUCGUGUGCUCGGUGAUCGCUUAGCAAGACAGGUAAAACGCUUAAGCCCCUUCCUCAUCUUAGGAUUUAGGGCGGGUGCAUUCCACCACCCAGCCAGAGAAUUCCCUCUCCGACAUUUGGCACGCCAGGUAGGGGCCUAGGCAUUAGGUUUUUGCUUGUUUCUGUCACACCCUGGUUUCGGGUCACCAAGACCCGGGCGCGAACAUAAUCACCAGGUGUGCUGGGACCAAGUCUCACACAUAUGAUGAAUCAUGGCACAGGAUCGAAUGUCACAUCUUUACUACAUAACAGGAGUUUUAUACAAAAUAAAUAAUUACAUUAUAAGGAGACAACGGUCCAGCAACCCAAAGUUGACUGGCAGGCGACGGCCUAGACCUCUCACGAACUCGUCACAGCAUCCUCCAAGCGCCUCAUCCUGCGGUACCUGUUCUUGACCUGUGGGGGGGUGUGAGACAGCAAGAGUGAGCUCACAUACGUUCAUCGCUCAACAAGUUGUGGGGAAUAAUGUGCAUGAACUCGCCAAAGGUGGGAGCUCAUGUGAAGUGUAAGGCUUACCAAAGAGGAUGGUUAGAGCUGAGCAUUGCUUUUAAAGUUGGUCAAAAUUUUAUUAGCAGUUACUAAGUAUAAGUAAAUACCAACCCAAUUAAGUAGUAGAACAACAGUAACAACAUCACCUGCGAUGCAAUGCAUAUGACAAAUUGAAUUUAGUUCCAUAAAUUAAUCAUGUGAGUGUCCGAGCUGCUCAUGACCGUGAGCACGGCUAGUAUACCAGUUUUACACUCUGCAGAGGUUGCGCAUCUUUACCCACAAGUCAUGUUACCCAUCUGCCAAGAGACGGCCAAUCCCAUACACCUCUACCGAGGAGGCGAGGCAGGGUAAUACUACGAGGCCUUUACAAAGUUCCACUAGCUUCAGAAAACCCGCUACAGUUUAUAGGAAGCUCCAGUGCAGGAGUCCCUCGACUGACCACCAUCGCAGCAAAAUCAACCAAGGACCUCCCUACACUGACCACUCCCCUACCGCCCUUGCCCCUUUCAGGUAAGGUAAUCAUCCACUAGCUUUCCUAGUUAAUCAGCCAAGGGCGUCCAUAAUCCCUUGUGGUAGCACUGUUUUCCCGGGUGGUUCUCCAUGUUCCCAUUAACAUAAUGAUCUUAUCAUGAACAGUAAAUAAUAAACAAAUAAUAAAAGUAUAAUCAUGAAUAGUGUAUCUCCAUACCCAAAACCACAAUAAGCAAUAGCAAGUACUACCCAAGAAUUCAGUGGUAAACAAGGUAUAAAGAUAGUCAAAAUCUAGGGUAACCUAUUGGGUCCCAUCAAAAUUAACCUAUGCAGAUCAUUAUGAUUAAUAAGAACAUGACUGGGUAAAAAGAAGUGAUCAAGGGCACAACUUGCCUGGGACUUGAGAUUCCAGGUACCAACUUGCUCUUCAGGUGACACGUGUCCUCACUGCUAAACGUAGCAAUACAGACAAACAUGUAUAUGAAAAAUUAACAUCACACCAAACAUAAAAAUAAACUGCGUAAUAAUGAUCUACGCGUCGCUACGAGAUCGCAGAAAUAAGAAACACUAAAUUCAGAGCUACGAUUAUUGAGUUAUGAGUUUCCAAAAUUAUUUUAGUGUUUAGAAUAGAUUAAUCCAAAUGAACAAUUUUAAUUCAUGUUUCAUGGCUAAACAGUGUUACUAGUUGAUAGAAAAUAUUGAAACAAAAUUAAUGCAACUGGAACGGGUUAAAAAGGAGUUAAAAUGGAUUUAAUAUGAAUCAAGCAAGUUUCUUGGAUUAUUUUUAUAACAAAGAUCAUUAAUAAAACUAUUUCAUAAACUUUCUGGGAUGGGGCCACUAUUUCUCAUAAGCACAGGGUUAAAUACGCAAAUAAAAGGACCCGGUUAGAAUUAUUUUUGAACCAGCAUGGAUGGCGGGUUAGUUUCUAGUAAGCGCAGGGGCUUAUUAGCAAAAGGGGCGGGCCGAAGGGGUAUCACCCAGUAUCAGCCGUAGGAUAUGAUAUAUGUGGCUCGGAUUAGAUUAGAGCUUCAUCAAAACAGUAUGCGCUAUAGACCGUCGAUCCCGAGACCGACGGUUAGGAUUUUCAUGACGCCACAUCUCACACCAACCGCUCGAUUAGAUCAGACGGUACAGAUAUUCCUGGCCACAGCCUUAUCCACCACCCAAUCGUAGCCGCACGCCAACAAUCCAACGGUUCCAGUGCUUCACAUACCACUGUCUUCACCGGCAGCGGCGCCAGAGCGCAUGCCACGGCGGCGGACAACACCGGAGAGCACCCAAACCUCGCUGAGGGCCCCAAACGAUAUUUCGAGCAGCGUACACAUUCCAGGGAAAGCUACGAAUCUAAAGGGAGAGUUCUCACCAGGAUUUGAGGUCGUGACGUGCCCGGUCGCUGAUGUCGAGCGGAUCCAAGGUGGAGCCCAAUUCCGGUGAGCAAUCACAGGUACACCGGCCAACUCCCCCAUCCGGACAAGUUACCAACUCGUGCGAGUAGCACCUGGUGAUCUGCCCCGGCCAGGGAUUCAACUCACGACGGUGUUUCACAGGUUCCGCGCGCGGCGGCACUUACCCAAGCCCCACGGCGACAACGCUCGAGCUUCAAUGGAGCAGGAGAGAGUUGCGGCGAGGUCCGCAUUUAUACGCAUGGGAAGGUGUCCGUCUCCCAACUACCACGCGAGAUCGCCGGAGGAUCCCAUUACCCGGUCGGCGAAGACCACGGAGGGGAUUUGUGCGGCGGACGCGGGGCUUCGUUGCGAUCCUAGGAGAUUGAUUCGACAAAUGGGACCCACCAGUCGGUGGCUUGGUGACAAGCGCGCGUGGCAAAAGAGACUGGUUCGCGGGCCCCGCAUUUCAGAGACUGAGCGUGGCGGGGAAAAUUGGCAGGAAGGCCGAGGGUGCGCGCUUUAGUGGGCCGAGGGAGGCCGGAGCUGGGCCGAGCCAGGGAGGAAAUCAGACCAUGUGCGUUUUCUACUUUUGUUUUAUUUUUCUUUUAUAAUUUUUGUUUUGUUUCCAAAUCAAAAAUUCAAACUAAAUUCGAAUUCUGGUCUUAAUUUUCAGGUUUCAAACAUCAAACCAAAUUCUAAUUCUUCUAUUACUUGCACUGAAAUUAUUUAUUUAUUAUUCUUAUUUAUUAUUCUCCCUAUUGUUUAAAUAUGGAAGAAAGGAAUGGCUUUAUUAAAAUUUCCUUUCUCCCCUUUGUUUUAUAAUUUUUUUGAGGUCAAUUUAAAUUAUGAUUCCUUGAUUCAAAUAAGAUGCAUCACAGAAAUAACAUCAGCAUGAGGUACACAUUUCUUUAUUUAUUUAUUUGUUCUUUACAUAAUUUAAUGCCAUUAGUUGAGUAUGUAGAGAAAAAAAUAAAAAUAAAAAUCAAGGGAUCCCCAAAACACCCACUUAUUUGUUUAUCUAUUCAUUUUAUUAUUAUUUUGGAAAUAUAUUCAUUUUGGGAGUAGUAACUUCCAAAUUAUGAAUAUCUUUAAGGAAAGGUGUUUUGAUUUAAAACCUUUGGGGAAUUUUUCCUUAUUUUCACAAAAUUGAUCUUUAGGGUGUUACAGUUUCCUCGCUCAGCAUGAUGGUGCAAAUCGUGGAGCACCGCGCCAAGACUUCAACGGAUUUCCUGGUGAAGAAAGAAGCUGUUUCUUCCACGCCACAGGUUCCCAACCGCCCAGUGUCGGGCACUGCUGCUGUGCACGCUGCACGGCAGCAUACGGCUGCACAGACAUCCCGGACUCCGUCGAGGGCGGCUCCGGGAGCAUUGUUAGCAGCCAGGGAAUUGCUGCGUCACCCUCCAAGCUCCACGGCCUCACCGGGGGCCAUGAAGCAGUGGCAGGAUGACGUCAACCGACAGCUCGACAUGGCACAUUCUACCUCGACCAGGUCGAGGCCACAGUCAUCCCAUCGCCAAUAUGAGGCGUCGACGUCUAUGCGCUCACCCUCAGUGAGGGGUGCACAGACCAACGACCUCUGGGUAGAGCUCAACCACAGGCGUGCGGGAGAGGACGCCCGGGUCUCUUUAGAGAGGGCGUGCGAGCGCCGACAAAACAUCGAGGGUCGCAACCUCGAUCAAGACUUCGCUGAGGUAGUACCACAGGCCCCAAUGGGCACCCGGUCCCAAGCGGGUGUCCCCUUGGCCGGCGUAGGUUGCGCCGCUCUCGUGGAUCAUCUCCGCGCGGCAUCAUGGCCAUCAAAGUUUCGGCCACACCUGCCGGAAAAGUACGAUGGUACGUCAAACCCGUCGGAAUUCCUGCAGGUGUACGUCACCGCUAUCACAGCAGCAGGUGGAAACACCGCAAUGAUGGCGACAUAUUUUCAUGUCGCCUUAUCUGGACCUGCUCGGACUUGGCUCAUGAACCUCUCCCCAGGGUCAAUCUACUCCUGGGAAGAACUCUACGCUCGGUUCGUUGCGAACUUCGCCAGCGCUUACCAGCAACACGGUGUGGAGGCCCACCUCCACGCAGUGAGGCAGGAGCCCAGGGAGACUCUCCGGAUGUUCAUCUCCCGCUUCACCAAGGUGCAAGGUACUAUACCUCGCAUUUCCGAUGCUUCCAUCAUCACGGCCUUCCGCCAGGGAGUACGUGAUGAGAAAAUGUUGGAGAAGUUGGCCACGCAUGACGUGGAGAUUGUCCCCACACUCCUCGCUCUGGCCGACAAAUGCGCCAGAGCCGCCGAGGGUCGUGCAUGGCACUUGGCCCCACAGACUGGGGCUACCCAAUCGGGUGGCUCGGGUGCCAUCCCCCGGGACGGUAAGAAGAAAGAGAAGAAGGACCGCGACCACCAGAAGCCGCGGUCCACUGCGCUGGUCGUUGCAGUUGGGACUGGGGGCCGAGGCGACCGCAACAAACGCCCACGACCACAGAGGGGUAACAGCGGCUCAUGCCCUGUGCACCCCAACGGUCGCCACAACACCGUGGAGUGUCGCGAGAUCAUCGACCUCGCAAAACGCGUCAGCGAGCGGCACGAGUAGUCUUCUAAAGACGGCUCCCCACCUCGUCGCCGACCUGGCAAGGAAAGGGUCGACGACGGCGAGGUGGCCACGGCUGAACGGGACCUCGGGUAUCAGUCACUCGAGGGGGACCUGAAGGAUGUCUUCGUCGGAGACUCCCACUCCGGUGGUGACAACUAGAUGGACCCCCAGAUGGACCCCGUGCUCCCCGGUCUACGGGGCCGAAGCCUGCCUUCCUCCGGAAACCCUUCUGGACUCCCCACGGGUCCAGGCUUCUGACAAGUCCAUACAGAAAUGGCUACAGCACGAGGACGAGGACUCCCUCAUCAAACGCAGAUGGGAACCCAGGGUCGAGACCUAGUCCUACGGCAAGUACCAAACCAAGAAGGGCUCCGAAACUCUCCCCCAGCUGGGAAGGACCCUUCAAGGUGACGGGAAUACGCUGACCCGGGGGUGACUAUCUUGUUAUGACUGAAGGAGUGCCUCUUCCUGGUCACUGGAGCAUCUCUGUAAGUUCUAUCCAUAGGAGCAAGUCUGAGGGUCGAGUUUUUCUCCCUUUUGUAACUAGGUAACGCAUACGUGUACGCCAACCCGGUGAGGUCCGCCCUCAUAAGCCCGGCCUGUUGGUCUGCACCCAUGCAUGACAAGUUAUAAAGAAAAGAUUUACCCCCUCAGAUGUGCCUCUAUGAUAGUUUUAUCCUACUGCUCCAUGGUCUUACCUUGUAGUUUUCCGGAUCUUGUUUUAUCUAACCCACCCAAAUAGUUCCCUUUCCAUCGAACAUAAUGACAUCCGAAUUGAACAGCCAGGCUUGCAGUUUAGGACCUCUCUGCGAAAGAAGGAGGGCCCGAUAGCCUGUGGGCUGGUUCUAAAGAAUGGGAGCCCAUUCCAUGGGGUGGUCCGGAGCCUGUGUGGCCGAUUAGCCUGGUCCCGUACCCGAAAGCCUGCACACUCCACCACUCCGUGACGGGUACCCUAGUAUUUGGAGCUAUAAGUCCUAUGGGUCCGGCAACCUGGGGUCCGAAACUAGAGAAUGGACACUUGUCUCCUAGGGUGGUUCGGAGCCCGUGUAGUCGCUCAGCCUGGUUCCGUACCAUGGGCCCGCAUGAUCCACCACUCUGCGAUGGGUGUCCUAGUACCUAGAACCACCAUCCAGGGGGUCCGGACGCACAACUUGGCCUCCCAGACUAGACCCUGCAAGUCCCGAGCAUGUAUCAAAGAAUGGCUAGUGUCAGAUGGCAGGUCCUGUGGGUGUACUACUAAUGCUCCCUAGUCGAAGCUGUGUGCAGGCCCAGGUCCCAGUCGAGGCUACCUCCUGGGGGCCAUUGCCAAAUCUUUCUUAGGUAUGCUGGUCUGCAACCUCGACAAAUCGAGCCUACAUCCUAGGGGGGCAGGUACCAAGGAGGAAUUGGUUACACCACACACAAUAGGGACAAGUGGUACACAGAUAAGUGCUAAUACUGCUUGAUAAAUAGUACUCGAAAGUACCUUAGGAAAAGCAAAAGUAUUACAUCCGCUUUCAAGCGGAGUCCUAGCUCCAUCUCUACUCUGCAGGAAUGGACUACUCUGCACCAGCAGGGUCGCGUUGGAAGCUAGCUCUGGGCAGCCUCACCAACGGCGGCGACCACCUCUACUCCAAGCGGCUCGCCAGCGGAGGCGGCCACCUCUGCACCAACGGCUCGCCAGCGGCGGUGGCCACCUUUGCACCGGUGGCUUGCCGGCGACGGUGGCCACCUCAGCGCGUGCGAAGAGGUCCUCGCCCCCGUCCUCCUACGGGGGUGAGGACAAGACCAUCCAAGAACGCGGCCACCACCUCCACAGCGUAUGACAUCUUGUACAACCCCCCAGGCAGCGUCGGAGCAGUGCGGCCAGCGGCGCAGGGGACACCACGGAUGCGGUGGACCUGCGCACGACGCGACCGUCGCCCGUGCGGUGGACGGAAAGCCAUGCCCCGCUUGGCGGUGGGAGGCAGCGUUGGAGGCGGCACCAAAACCAUCAAAGCCAAAGAGAUGGAGCCGCAGCACGGCUCGCUUCCCACCCCAAAGAGUUGGGGGUGCGUGGGAUGGAGCCGUGGCUCAACCCGCUGUCCACCUUCACGAGGCUGGUGAUCAUCCUUCCCUCCGAAUGCUAGAGGAAGAAGCGGGAAGGAGCGUCGCCUCCACGGACAUCCCGCGGAGGUAGGCGACGAUGGCUGCCUGAAGGAUGAAGCAGGACACCACAGGUAGAGGCUGGGGGCUAAGCCCCUCCAGCAGCUGCACGAAGAAAGAUGGGAUCGGCAGAGCCAACCCGCUGGGGAGUUUGGAAACAAAGAACACAAACUCUUUGACAGCAAGGUCGCCGAGAGGAGAGACACCAGCACAAGUCCUCCCGGCAAAUGCCAGCACACCCCAUCCGAGCGGGUUGCGCGCCAAGUUGAGUGCCACCUCGGGCUGGAAGCGCUCGCAAGGGUCUAGCAAGGCCAUGGUGACUACGGCAACGCGAAGCAGAGACCUUGAAGGAAAAGGGGCACGGAGAGCUCGGAGGCGAAGGGACGCCGUGAGAGGGAGAGAAGCAAGGCAUGGCUGCUAUUCGAGGGAUGAACCCCUCUUUAAAGGCAGGCUCCCCUGCUCCCGCCUCGAAGCGCCGUGAGAAGCCUCCCCCAAUGCACACCGAGGUAUCCAUCCCAUGACACGGGGGCCCAGUCCCACAAGUCAUAUAGCUGGCGCGCUGGCCUUCGAGUGCGAAGAAGGCGAACCGCCGCACAGGAAGCGUGCUACCGCCCCGCGGUAGUACGCCUCCUUCAUCUUCACUACGACCAACGGUCAGGAAGGCGAACCACAGCACAAGGAGCAUGCUACCGCCCCGCGGUAGUGCGCCCCCUCGUCUUUGCUGCAACCUGCGGUCCAACCUCUGGCAUGGGGGCCCAGGCCCACAUGUCACGCACCCGGCGUGCUGGUUUCUGGGUGCAGAGAAGUCGCACCGCCACUCGCACCAAUACCGCGUCUCCUCAGGGCCGUCGCAGAAGACUGAGAAGAUAAAUUUUCAAAACCAAUGCAGCAACUCGAGGCACCCCGUGCAUGGCCCAACAAAGACAUUAAGUGCGGAGGUCACGGGUCAGCCAGCCGCAGGGACAGGCAUGGCAGUCGGCGUGACCAUGGGCGGACCGGCAGUAAUUGCAUCAACGGGCGCGCAGGGGCAGCGAGCCAAUCACCAAUAAAACUUUGGCCCCACCUGCAGGCCCGUAUCCUCCCCUGAGGCGGGCCCAGGGGCCACUGUCGGUACCCUGAAUCAGGAGUACCCCUUACUGAAGUAUGAAGACACGGAGCCCGUACGAUGUUCUCUAGUCGCACGAUGAACAAUACCCGACCCCACCACGUGGGCGGCUCGGGGGCACCACGUGGUGAGAAAAGAUGAUACAUCCCAGGAUGUAUAAGUUGGACCGGACCACCGCAAGAAAGCACCGAACCCCUGUACGCACAACCCGGACCCUCGAUUACGUCCCGGGACUCCCAAGCAAGCAUGUCGGAUCCCUUGGAUGGGGUCCAGAUCCCUCUGAGUAAGGUUCGGGCCACAACGAGGUCCCAGAACAGGGGAGACCCUGGCAUAAGCAAGGGUCUGGUACUGACACGUGUCCAGGCCUUAUCCUGUGCGCUUGCGCUCCCUGCUCAAGCGGAGACCCGAUGCUGCCACGUGGCUUGUUGUCCGUGACAUAAGCCAGCGGGUGGAGCCUGACGUAAGGCCUCUAGGCCGCGCGGUCUCUGCAUUUAUUGCGGAGAGGACGCACCGCCUGUCCACCCUGCUGACAGGCGAUGUGCCCCCUCAGCAUUUAAUGCAUCCUGUCCACUCCGCUGGCAGGCGGCGCUAGGGUCAUCUUGCAGACAGCGCACCUGUCCAGUCCAUUGUCAAACAGUGCGCCCAUGCUGUGCGGCGCACUGUGCUCAUCAUCCCUUAUACGAUAAGCUUCUCCUGCAUGCCGAUGCUACACAGAUCUCGGAUGUCAGGGCGCAAGAAGAUUGCUCCAACAGCAAACAUUAGUAGCUCCAAGUACUACAUCCGUUAUGUUCCUGGGCCCACAUGUCGGGGCUCAGUACCCUUGUACAUGCCCCCUUAGCUAUAAAAGGGGAGGCAUGCAACUUUACGGAGGGGCUCUCUUAGACAAAAAACUGAGACUCUCACCUCUCAAGCCUCCACAGCAAUCCAACACACAGUGGAGUAGGGUAUUACGCUCCGACGGCCCGAACCACUCUAAAUCCUCGCGUGUUCGUGUGCUCGGUGUUCGUGUCCUACCUUUUUCAUAAACUAGUUUUCCCUAAAUUGACAUACUAUAUACAAAAUCUAUCCAAAUUUUGAAGAUCAAAUUUGUUCCAUUUAAUUAUUCAUGACUUAUAUCUUGGUAUUGCUUUUUUGUCAUCAGAAUAUAUUUUGAACACAGUAAAAGUUAUACACGAUUUUUUUAGACAAUACUAAAGUAAGUUGUAAUCAAGAACACUUGACGUGUGAACCAAUUGCCACUUUUAGAUAUAAUCAUUGUAAUUUUGGUCAUCCUAUGUGUGUGCAUUCAUCUAUGCAUUCUAGGAUUUCAAUUAGUCUCAAUCUUGUAGUAUUUGUUCCUUGAUUGUCAAAUCACUUCUCAUCUAACUACUAUGCUUGUUUAACCAUCAGAACAUAACUACAACAAAAUCCAUUUAUAAAGGUUUUGAUAGCAAACUUUACAUAUUCAUAUCAUGUUAAGGUUGUCACAUGUUUAAAGGUGAAGAGAUCAUGCAUGUCAUUCCACGUAGAUGAAAAGAAUUCCUAUAUAAAAUGACACAUUUUCUUGUAGGUAGUGGAAAGUAUCUUUCCAGCAAAGACUAUAAUCCGAUAAAGUUGAUAACUAAAUGUCGAAAAAGAGUAGAUGCCAUAUCAUCUAUACCUUAUCUGUUGUUUGGAAAAAAAGACUAACUACAAAAAAUAUAUAUGAGAUCUCACUUGUAUAAAUAGCUCCCAAAUCAGUAGUUAACCAUCACCCAUAAUAUUUUGAACAUUCAGAAACACACCUAGCGAAGCGCACUAGCAACGACAUAACAACAAUGGCUACUAAGAUAUUAUCCCUCCUUGCGCUUCUUGCCCUUUUUGUUAGCGCAACAAAUGCGUUCAUUAUUCCACAAUGCUCACUUGCUCCUAGUGCCAUUAUUCCACAGUUCCUCCCACCAGUUAGUUCAAUGGGCUUCGAACAUCCAGCUGUGCAAGCCUACAGGCUACAACAAGCGCUUGCGGCGAGCGUCUUACAACAACCAAUUGCCCAAUUACAACAACAAUCCUUGGCACAUCUAACAAUACAAACCAUCGCAAUGCAACAGCAACAGCAACAACAGUUCCUACUAGCACUGAGCCACCUAGCCAUGGUGAACCCUGGCGCCGACUUGUAACAACAACUGCUUGCAUCCAACCCACUUGCUCUGGCAAACGCAGUUGCAAACCAGCAACAACAACAGCUGCAACAGUUUCUGCCAGCGCUCAGUCAACUAGCCAUGGUGAACCCUGCCGCCGACCUACAACAGCAACAACUGCUUUCAUCUAGCUCGCUCGCUGUGGCCAAUGCACCUACAUACCUGCAACAACAAUUGUUGCAACAGAUUGUACCAGCUCUGACUCAGCUAGCUGUGGCAAACCCUGCUGCCUACUUGCAACAGCUGCUUCCAUUCAACCAACUGACUGUGUCGAACUCUGCUGCGUACCUACAACAGCGACAGCAGUUACUUAAUCCACUGGCAGUGGCUAACCCAUUGGUCGUUGCCGUCCUACAGCAGCAACAUUUGCUGCCAUACAACCAGUUCUCUUUGAUGAACCCUGUCUUGUCGAGGCAGCAACCCAUCGUUGGAGGUGCCAUCUUUUAGAUUACAUAUGAGAUGUACUCGAUAAUGGUGCCCUCAUACCGGCAUGUGUUUUCUAGAAAUAAUCAAUAUAUUGAUUGAGAUUUAUCUCGAUAUAUUUCUCAACUAUGUUCAUCAUAUAAAUAAUUGAAAACAUCAAAUCGUAAUUAUAAACUCAUCCUUGGUCAAUACAUAGACAAUACGAUAUUACUUCAACAUCCCAAUGAUGUCAUAGCCCAACCUCUUGAAUGUUACUGUUUUAAUGUGUGAGGGUAUAUUUAUAAGAUUGACGUGACUAUUUGUGCUUUUUUUGAGUACAUACAUAUAUGGUAUGUUGAUUUGAUAUAGUGAUGGACACAUGCUUUGACCAUGAAUAUUCAAAUCAGUUGUACUUGCACGAAGCAAAACAUAAUAUAAGUUUAGGAGUAGACUUAUAACUAUGUCCAAACAUGCUCACACAAAUUCAUACCACAUUAUAAUUUUUUGGUAAAUAUUCCACACAUGUAUGUUUUAUAAGAACCCAAAUUUUGCAGACAAAUGCUGAAUUGUAGACAUGUAGAAUUCUUUGAAGCUCGUGAACUUAACAACACCAAGGUCAUUAAAUCAACUCGACCCUAUGAGUAACAAUUUCGAUAUUGCAAACACCAAAUUAUAGAACUUAUUGGCUGAAAAAUUAUGAGCAAUGUGAAGUUUAAAUUAUUAUACCAUAAAUAUAUCAAAGAAUUUUUUUGAGGAACGUAAAAAUUGCAUGGAAUGGGCUGCCCAACGUGCUAGCUCACUUCUAUGCUAGGUAGCAUUACCAAAGAUGGGAAUGUUGCUGAUGAACGCAAAACCCACUCAAAUCAUAUAUAUAUUUGGGAUGUUUAGUUGUAAAAGUGAAGACCUAAGAUAAAAGUACCAAUUGUCCAAUGACAUUCAAUUAUUUUGUUCGGGGAGCACUUUGUGUGUCAUUUGGACUCGUAUCUUAGUCCAAUAGAUUGCAUUUUCCUUCAAUGUGUAGAAUCCGACAAAGUGCUUGUUCCAAAAUUGUAAAUCUAACUAAAUUAUAAAGCUUGUUACUAAUUUGAUGGUUUAUUAGGUGUAGCUCAUAAAACUAGAACCAACAUAGCCUGCACUCACAUGUCAUAGAAAAUAGGAGUAUCCAAGCACAAUUUGUGUGAGCAUACAUGACACAAAUUAUAUAUAGACUGAUAUAAUUAAUUCCUUGAAAAAAGAAAAAGGAAACAAUAAAAUGUUUUUUGAUAUUGCAGGAUAUCUCCUUUAGCUAAUGAGGAGUACUAAAAAGAUGUUGCACUUUUGGGUGGCGAGAAUUCGUCAAUCAUAACUUUGACAUAAUUUUAAUCCGGAUCACAUAUAUAUCAUCAUAUAUUAAUUAUUAAAUUAAUAUGGUUCCAUCAUCGUAUUAUUAAUUCAAUCCGAUAUAACCAUCAGAUCUUAAUUAUUAAAUUAAUCUGGAGCGUACAUUAUAUUAUCAAACCAAAUCAACCCGACAUAACCAUCUAAUGUUCCGCUAUGCACAAUAAGCGCAUGGUCUGGGGCUUAAUCAUCCGGAAUAACCAUCCGAUCUUCUGGUAAGCAUAGUAAGCGUAUGGUUCACGACUUUGUCAUUCGGAAUAACCAUUAGAUUUUCCGGUAUGCACUGAAAGCAAAUGAUCCGGGGUUUUGGUAGGUGUAACGUUGUUAGGUGAAUGCGUAUGUUGGCUGCUGUUGCACGUGCGAACUGCUGUGUGGAAGCUGCUGGGUCCUCCUCUAUUAUGUGUGGCUUGUGGCGGGCUUGGACUGCUCUCAUGGCUUCGUCACUUGGAACUGCUCGUCCGUCCGGUCCUGCGUGCAUCUCUCUCUCCUAGCUGGAGGCGUGGUGGCCUGGUGGUUUCUCUGUGUUUUUCUUUUUACGACGGCUUCUCUUGUUGGCUAGGGUUGGCAUCAGGGGCCCGGUCAGCUAUGCUCCCUCAGCUUUUAUAGGCAGCGAACCACCGCAGGCAGAGCAGAGAUAAAGAUUCCAACUGCAUCCAUCUACAAACAAGGAUCUCGACGGAAGAGAUAAAAGCAUGCAGCACAAUUGCCGCUGCCCUACUGCAGCCUUGACUCUCGUCAAUUGGAUGACCAAAAGAUGCCACCGUCUAAGCUCUUUUCUUUGUGCAGCUGCCUGUUUGUCACCAACACAAAAUUUGUAGGUGCAUGUUUGUCACCAAUUAUCCUCUACCACAAAGAACUACAAUAGUGGUGGAGGAUCCGAUCCGGCACAGAUCCACUAUAAUGCAUAGUUGGUGAUGCAUGCCUAAUGGUGGUUGUUUAGUGUUAGUUUGGGCAUGUUGGAACUAAGCAAUUGUCGAUGCCAUACACUAGAAGUGAAGAAUGUUGUUAGCGUUAGGAGUAGAGGUGUCAAUGGGGACCGAUGCCCGUUAAGCCAUGGAGAAUUUCUCUAUUAGAUUUAGGGUAUGGGAAGAUUUUAAUUUCCAUUUGCUGAAUUUAGGUAUACAUCUAUUUGAAUCAACAGUUACAGUUCAACAAAAACUCUUUCCGCUCUAGUUUGUUUCGUGUCCUACCUUUUUCCUAAACUAGUUUUCCCUAAAUUGACAUACUCUCUAGAAAAUAUAUCCAAAUUUUGAAGAUCAAAUAUGUUCCAUUGAAUUAUUCAUGACAUAUAUCUUGGUAUUGCUUUUUUGUCAUCAGAAUAUAUUUUGAACUCAGUAAAAGUUAUACACGAUUUUUUUAGACAAUACUAAAGCAAGUUGUAAUCAAGAACAUUUGAGGUGUGCGCCAAUUUCCACAUUUAGAUAUAAUCAUUCUAAUUUUGGUCAUCCUAUGUAUGUGCAUUCAUCUAUGCAUUCUAGGAUUUCAAUUAGUCUCAAUCUUGUAGUAUUUGUUCCUUCAUUGUCAAAUCACUUCUCAUCUAACUACUAUGCUUGUUUAACCAUCAGAACAUAACUACAACAAUAUCCAUUUAUAAAGGUUUUGAUAGCAAACUUUACAUAUUCAUAUCAUGUUAAGGUUGUCACAUGUGUAAAGGUGAAGAGAUCAUGCAUGUCAUUCCACGUAGAUGAAAAGAAUUCCUAUAUAAAAUGACACCUUUUCUUGUAGGUAGUGGAAAGUAUCUUUCCAGCAAAGACCAUAUAAUCCGAUAAAGUUGAUAACUAAAUGUCGAAAUAGAGUAGAUGCCAUAUCAUCUAUACCUUAUCUGUUGUUUGGAAAAAGACUAAAUCCAAAAAUAUAUAUAUAAGAUCUCACUUGUAUAAAUAGCUCCCAAAUUAGUAGUUAACCAUCACCCAUAAUAUUUUGAGCAUUCAGAAACACACCUAGCGAAGCGCACUAGCAACGACCUAACAACAAUGGCUUCCAAGACAUUAUCCCUCCUUGCGCUUCUUGCCCUUUUUGUGAGUGCAACAAAUGCGUUCAUUAUUCCACAAUGCUCACUUGCUCCGAGUGCCAUUAUUCCACAGUUCCUCCCUCCAGUUACUUCAAUGGGCUUCGAACACCCAGCUGUGCAAGCCUAUAGGCUACAACAAGCGCUUGCGGCGAGCGUCUUAGAACAACCAAUUGCCCAAUUACAACAACAAUCCUUAGCACAUCUAACCAUACAAACCAUCGCAACGCAGCAGCAACAAGCACUGAGCCACCUAGCCGUGGUGAACCCUAUCGCCUACUUGCAACAACAGCUGCUUGCAUCCAACCCACUUGCUUUGGCAAACGUAGCUGCAUACCAACAACAACAACAGUUGCAACAGUUUCUGCCAGCGCUCAGUCAACUAGCCAUGGUGAACCCUAUCGCCUACCUACAACAGCAACAACUUCUUUCAUCUAGCCCGCUCGCUAUGGGCAAUGCACCUACAUACCUGCAACAACAGUUGUUGCAACAACAGUUGCUGCAACAAAUUGUACCAGCUCUUACUCAGCUAGCUGUGGCAAACCCUGCUGCCUACUUGCAACAACUACUUCCAUUCAACCAACUGACUGUGUCGAACUCUGCUGCGUACCUACAACAGCGACAACAGUUACUUAAUCCACUAGCGGUGGCUAACCCAUUGGUCGCUGCCUUCCUACAGCAGCAACAAUUGCUGCCAUACAACCAGUUCUCUUUGAUGAACCCUGCCUUGUCGUGGCAGCAACCCAUCGUUGGUGGUGCCAUCUUUUAGAUUACAUAUGAGAUGUACUCGAUAAUGGUGCCCUCAUAGCGGCAUGUGUUUCCUAAAAAUAAUCAAUAUAUUGAUUGAGAUUUAUCUCGAUAUAUUUCUGAACUAUGUUCAUCAUAUAAAUAAUUGAAAACAUCAUAUCAUAAUUAUAAACUUAUGCUUGGUCAAUACAUAGACAAUACAAUAUUACUUCAUCAUCCCAAUGAUGUCCAAGCCAAACCUCUUGAAUGUUACUGUUUGGGUGUGUGCGGGUGUAUUUAUAAGAUAGAUGUGACUAUUUGCGCUUUUUGUUGAGUACACACAUAUAUGGUAUGUUGAUUUGAUAUAGUGAUGGACACAUGCUUUGACCAUGAAUAUUCAAAUCAGUUGUACUUGCACGAAGCAAAACAUAAUAUUAGUUUAGGAGUAAACUUAUAACUGCGUCCAAACAUGCUCACACAAAUUCAUACCACAUUAUAUUUUUUUGGUAAGUAUUCCACACAUGUAUUUUUUACAAGAACCCAAAUUUUGCACACAAAUGUAGCAUUCUAGAUAUGUAUAAUUCUUUGAAGCCCGUGAACUUAACAACAGCAAGGUCAUUAAAUCAAUUGGACCCUAUGAGUAAUAAUUUCGAUACGCAAACACCAAAUUAUGGAACUUAUUGGCUGAAAAAAUUAUGAUCAAUGUAAAGUUUAAAUUAUUAUACCAAAAAUAUAUCAAAGAACUUUUUUGAGGAACGUAAAAAUUGCAUGGAAUGGGCUGUCUAACGUGCUAGCUCACUUUUAUGCUAGGUAGCAUUACUAAAGAUGGGAAUGUUGCUGAUGAACGCCAAACCCACUCAAAUAAUAUUUAUAUUUGGGUUGUUUAGUUGUAAAAGUGAAGAUCCAAGAUUAAAAUACCAAUUGGCCAUUGUCAUUCGAUUGUUUUGUUUAGAGAGCACUUGGUGCGUCAUUUGGACUCGUAUCUUAGUCCAAUAGAUUGCAUUUUCCUUCAAUGUGUAGAAUCCGACAAAGUGCAUGUUCUAAAAUUGUAAAUCUAACUAAAUUAGAAAGCUUGUUACUAAUUCGAUGGUUUAUUAGUUGUAGCUCAUAAAACUAGAACCAACAUAGCCUGCACUCACAUGUCAUAGAAAAUAGGAGUAUCCAAGCACAAUUUGUGUGAGCAUCCAUGACACAAAUCAUAUAUAGACUGAUACAAUUAAUUCCUUCAAAAAUAAAAAAGGAAAAAAUAAAGUGUUUUUGGAUACUGUAGAAUAUCGAGCGAAGGGUGACGUCUUCACCUUCGCCCCAACAUUUGCCCUCCGAGGGACCAGUUCGACUAAGUCAUUUGGUGCCGAAGGUGUCGCUAGAUGGUGGAGACGCUGCCCUCGCUCGAAGUGGUUCCGCGGGGGUUUUUGACAUGACCGUUGAUUGACGCCACACUGUUGGAUUGCUGGCUUCCCGAAGCGUCGCGCCCUGUGUAUAUAAAGGGGGUGGGGGCGGCGGGGAUUGAAAUUUACCUUUCUGCGCGCCGCGAAAACCCUAGCCUCCCUGUCAAACUGCUCGCUUGCUCGUCUGCCCUCCUUGCUCCUGUUCGUCGGAGAACUGGCCCACGUGAAGCAGACUGUGCGCCGCCGUCGACGGUACGUAGCCAUGCCGUCUUCCUCCUCGUCUGCUGCGACCACGCCGACGGCCAAGGCGACUUCCGAAGAUCUCUCGGGCACUGUGGCGGCGGCGGAAUUACGACCGGGUGAUACGGUGGAAUUCGGUGUUUCGCGGAUGUCGUUGGUCCGCGUGCAAGAUAUGCAACAGUUGGUGUAUUUUGGCGGCGGGGUUGGUCGAGUCCCGGGGCCAGAGGAGGUCCCCGAGCUCGAGGGCGAAUUGGUUGUUUUUGAGGCAUUUUUCAUCGCCGGCCUUCGCCUGCCUGCGCAUCGUUUUAUGUCGGAGGUUCUGCAGAAGUUCAAAGUCCAGGUUCAUUAGCUCACACCGAACGCCGUGGUGGCGUUGGCGAAGUAUGUCUGGGCAACGACGUCGUAUGGCGGUCAGCCUUCGGUGGAAGUCUUCGCCAAGCAAUACGGUCUGCAUUGGCAGAAGAGAAAAAAUGGACAUAAGAUUGCUCAAUUCGGAUCAUGCACUUUCACGCCGAAGUCCGGGAAGACUUCGAUGGAAGUGGUGGAGCUGGUCCCCUGUGCCCAAAAUAAGUGGGGCAACUGGUGGGACUACUGGUUCUAUGUUUCGGAGGCUGAAGUCGAAGAUCACCCAGGGCUCCCUGCCGCCAUUAUGUGCUCUCAUUACUAUGUGGCAUACCCGCCAUUUGAAGUGGCGGAGGAUGAUGAAAAUGAAAGGGCCCUUCGGAUCGCUGCCCGCACGAGUAGUGGGCGCGAUCUAGUUGAGGAAUUCAUAGGGUAUGGGGUGUGGCCCUUGGCGCAUGGAUGGGCGUUGGGCAAAGUAUGCCCUCGCGAGAUGCCCUCCCUGGGCGGGCGGAAGGUGCGAAGUCCGCUUUUUGCUUUGGAUGUGCGAGGGCGGGAUCCUGCCGCGGUUGUGCAUGAGGCGGAGGAUGGGGCGGUGAGAAUUGUUGGGUGCUACGUGCCGAAGACGGAGGCCCAGCGGAGUUGGGAUAUACGUGGAUCCAACGACCGCCUGAAUAGGGUCUUCGAGUUGAAUUGUUUGCCGUAUGGCGGUUAUCCCGGGGAAGACGUUGUCGACCACAGCGGGAAAAAACCAGCGGCUGUGACUGAAGACGACCCCGCGUCGGAGGCCGCCCCAGCCACUAAGAAGAGGAAGCUAGGUACUGCGGUGGGAGAACUGGGGGUCUCCGAUAGUUUUGCUAUGGAGUUGAUGGGGACAUGCGUGGCCCCCGGGGGAAGGAUGUCUUCGCCCGAGCUCCGGGAGUCUUCGGCGCGGAUGUUGGAGGUUACCGGGGGUCGAUGGCCCAAAAACGUUCCUAUCCCCCGCGCGGCUGGCGAAGACUUCUUUACAUCUCGCAUGGCUCGUGACUUGAGAGUGUUUCCUUACAGACGGAAUAUUGCUGUUGUUGUGUCGAUAGUGAUGAACAAGGAUCACCAGGAUGCUGCGCAGAAGCGUCGGGCGGUCAUCAGGCUCCCCGACGCUAGGCGUGAAGCGAAGAGAGCGCGAGGGAGUGCGAAGGCUAUCGUCCCCGGCGGUAGCCAGCCGAUGCUGGCUGCAAAGCCGGCCGCGCCUGGAUCCAGCAAGGUGCCGGAGAGCGGGAAGGCGGUCGGCGCCGGUGGAACCAAGUCUGCCCCGGACGGAGCUGUGAAGGUCCGGGAGCUGCCUUCGACGGGGAAACGCGUUGCCGACUUCGGCAUGAAUAUUAGCGUGGACGACUAUCUCGUUGGUAAGCAUUUUUUUUAUUCUGACCGGUGAUACGUUGCAGGGUCGAGUGAGGGGCAACUGGUUGUUGUCCCACCUGUGGUGGCAACCACGGCGUCAACCGCGGUGCUUGGGGUGAAGGGUGGCGCUUUCAGCGCUGGCGGCGAGAUUUCGGCGGCCACUGCCGUCAAGGACGAAGCGGGCACUAUGUCCCGCCGGCUGAGGGAGGCGUCGCAGCAGCUAAGUCAAGUAAGUUGAGCUGGACUUCGGUGUUUCCUGCUUUCAUGGGGAUUGUGGUCUCAUGUGUGUCUGUUAGGCGGCCGACUUCGCCGACCGCGUGGCGUCGGGUGCCCUUACUGCAGAUGUGUCUGCCGAAGUCGAGAGACUUUGGGCGCAGCACGCGGACGCCGUCCGGGAGAAGUCGGCUGCGGAGAGCAAGAGCCACAGGCUGGCGGAGAAGGUGGCCGCCCUGGAGGGCGAGAGGAUGGACCUCCGGCGCCAGUUGGUGGAGGAAAGGAGGGAGGCCAACCAGGCCAUCGCCAAGGUGCAGGCGGCGCAGGCGGAGGCCAAAUUGGCGUGGGCGGAGGGGAGUCUCGCCAGCCAACGCGCCGAGGAAUGGGAGGUGCGGUUCAACGCUCUGCACGCCCGCAUGGAGAGGGCCGAGGCCUCUACGCGCUCGGAAGUUGAGCGAACGCGCAAACAGCUCGUGGACUCAUACCGGGAGCUGGGUGCGCGGACUGCUGACUUCGAGGUGCCCGACCGAGAAGCGAGCCUUCGCUUCCUCGAGUGGCUGCAAGAGGAAUUGCUGGCACUCCCGACCAUCGUGGAGGGAUUCAUGUCUUUUGCCUCCCUCGUCACCUGCGAAGGGGCCAUGAAUGCGUUGUCCCGCAAGGGAUGCAAUCACUAUGAGGGCUUCGACCGGUCCGAUGAAGACUUUGGGCGCGAAAUUUUUAAGGUCGAAGACCCUGUGGUGAAGGAUUCUGCGGGGGCCCUCUUCGAUCGGAUGUGGGGUCCUCAUGGCCGGGAGGCGGUCAAGGAGCGGUCUGAUCGGGCGAGAGAGCAUGUAAGUCUUGUCUGUUGUUUCGUGUGAUUGAAUGUGGGUACGUGUGGGUUUGCUGAAUGAGUGUGUUGUUGCUGCAGAUGGCGCAUGCUGAGGAUGUCAAAGACCUCGGAGGUCUAAACAGUGCGCCGCCCGAGGCUGCGGAGGGCAGACCGGUGCUGCCCUCGGAUGCUGGUGAACGCCCAUCGGACGUGCCCGUGCCUGCUGCUGUCGGCGAAGACCCUGUGUCGGCCCCUGUGCCGACAGUCAAAGGCGCUCAUGAGGUGGUGGCGGAGCCGGUGGUCGAAGGCCCUACGGCCGCGGAGGCGCCCGCGCAGGUGGCUAAGUAGUUGAAUAGGUUUAGGGGGGUUGUAAAUUUUGUCUACGUGUUACUGAACCUCGGUUGCUGCGCAGGUUCAGGGUUUUGGGCCUGCGUACGCAACCGCUACUGAAAGUGCUAAUUUUGUGGCGGCUUCGACCGUGGUUGCGGAAAAUGAUUCGGGUGAUUCUGUGUCUAAGUUUUUUGAGUCUGAUGAUUCUGUGAGUUCGGUGGUGUGGACUGAAGAGUCUUCGGAUGAGGACUUGGAUUAUUUUGCGGCAUUGGAUGUGGCUGCGGCGGAGGCUUCGCCGUGUGUGAUGGGUGCUGAGGUUCUCGGUCCGAGCGCUGGGCGUAGGCGGCAAAGGGCGGUGGCGAAGCGCGGAGUGAGUGAGGUGGAGGGUGGUCGUCUUCGUGUGGACAGGGCUGGUAGGCGGGAAUUGUUGUCCUUGCCAGAUGGGGCGAGUGUAGGUGAGGGGGAAUUGCGAAGUCUGUUUGAGGGUGAGGAGCUGAGGAUAAUGUUGUUUAACUAUAGGGAGAUGGGUAUCAUCCCGAAGGUUGAACCAUUGUAAGGUGUGAUGCCCUCGUUGUACGUAUGUAACUAUAAUUUGUAUGAUGAGGCUGUGUGCCUUAGCUGAUACGGUCGUGCCCGUAGGGGACUUGUGCACUAGGUCUAGCACGUUUAUUAUGUCGGUCCAGCUGCACCCUCAGGCGACUUUUGCACGGAUAGUCUUGGGAGGAAGACUUCGAUUUUUCGCACUUGUUGUGCUAGUCCGGCUGCACCCUUAGGCGACUUUUGCACGGAUAGUCUUUUGGAGAAGACUUCGAUUUUGCGCACUUGUUGUGCUAGUCUGGCUGCACACUUAGGCGACUUUUGCAUAGACAAUAUUUUGGGGAAGACUGGUUUUGCGCACUUUUUGUGCUAGUCCGGCUGCACCAUUAGGCGACUUUUGCACGGAUAGUCUUUUGGGGAAGACAUGUUUUGCGCACUUGUUGUGCUAGUCCGGCUGCGCCCUUAGGCGACUUUUGCGCGGACUGUCGCACGUGAGGGUAGCCAGCGCUGCCCCUCGCGGUGACUUCGUGUUUGUCGAAUGUCGAAGACUGUCGAUGCGGUCUUCUUUCGACGUUGUAAUUUUUUGCGGGGGAUUUUUUGCGUGUAUAUUACAUGGCUCCACCUCAUUAAAAACCUCACCCCCCGGUAGGAAAAGAGUGCGGGCCGGAAUAAAAACUGUCUUGCGAAUUACAAGGGUGAGCUGGCCCUAAGGAGUCAAACAAAAAACUUGCGAAGAUUGUCAAUGUUCCAAGAAUGUUCAAAGUCUUCGCCAGAUGGCGUUGUGAGCCUGUACGCGCUGGGGGACGCCUUCGUCUUGACAAUGAAAGGGCCCUCCCAUUUUUGCUCUAGCCUGCCCCGGGACUCUGUCCGAGUUGUCCGGACGAGUACGAGGUCUCCUUCGCUAAAUUCCCUCGGGAUGACUGUGUGGUCGCGCCAUGCUUUUGUUUGAGCUUGGUAUUUGUUUAGAGCCUGUAGGGAGAAGACACGGUCUCCGUCGAUGAGGUCCUUCGAAGUAGGUUCGUCUACGUCGGGGACGGCUGACGCGACUGUCCGCAGUGACCCAUGUUUUAUUUCUUGCGGAGUCAUGGCCUCCGAUCCAUAUAGAAGGCGGAAAGGGGUGAACCCAGUCGCCCUGAACUCAGUCGUGUUCAGCGCCCAGACCGCUUUAGGUAACAGGUCUGCCCACUUUCCUUUUUUGUCGUCGAGGAGCAUUUUCUUGAUGGCUGUGAAAAUUUUACCGUUGGCGCGUUCCACAACUCCGUUGGAUUGCGGGUGGUACACUGAGGCGAAGGCAAGCUUGGUGCCGAUGGAGAAGCAGAAAUCCUUGAAGUCUUGGCUGUCAAAUUGCUUGCCAUUGUCAGCUGUGAGUUCGGACGGGACUCCGAAGCGGCAAACAAUGUUUUGCCAGAAGAAUUUCUGGGCAGUCUUCGAUGUUAUCGUGGAUACAGUCCUCGCCUCGAUCCAUUUGGUAAAAUACUCGACGGCGACGAAGGUCAACUUGAGGUUCCCCUAGGCCGUGGGUAGGGGCCCGACAAUGUCCAGGCCCCAGCGCUGAAGAGGCCACGUGUGGGCGAUUAGCUUUGUGAAUUGCGAAGGGCUUCCCGAGCGUGGAGAAAAUUUCUGGCAGGCUUCGCAGGACCUUGUGACCCGAUUUGCAGCGCAGAUCAUGGCGGGCCAGUAGAAACCUUGAUGGAUCACCUUUGCGGCUAGGGCCCUGGGCCCUGCGUGAGAGCCGCAAGUCCCGCUGUGGACUUCGCGCAGAAUUUGGACGCCUUCGGUCUCGGUGACACAUUUAAGCAUGGGUUGACUGACCCCCUUUUUGUAAAGUUGGCCUUCGAUUAGUGCGAAGUCCCGGCUUCGAUGUUUGAGGCACUUGGCCUCAUUGAUAUCGGUUGGAUGAUAGUACCCCUGCAGGAAUAGGGUUAUUGGUGCCCGCCAGUCUUCGGUCAUGAUGAGGUUGACUAUGCGGUGGCCCUCGCUGUCAUUGGUUAUUUGGAGCCCCUCUGGGCUGCGGAAGGCUGGCGUGCCAAUGACAUGGUAGAAUACAUCGGAGGGCAGGGCCUCGCCUCUGGCGGCUGCCUUGGCUAAUGCGUCGGCCUCCUCAUUCUUGGCUCGGUCCACAUGCUGUAAGGUAAAACCUUUGAAUUGUCUUUCGAGACUGCGGAUAGUCGCGAGGUACUGCAUAAGUGUGGGGUCCUUCGUUGUGUAGUCUUUCUCGACUUGGCCGACGACUAUCUUGGAGUCUGUUCUGAUGAUGCAGGUGGUGACACCAAGUGGCCUUAGCUUGCGAAGGCCGAGAAUGAUAGCUUCGUAUUCUGCUAUAUUGUUAGUGCAUCUGUCAGACUCCAAAGCAAAGCUGAGGCGUGCUGCGUAUCUGUGCUUGACCCCUGUGGGUGACGUAAUGACUACAGCGGUGCCUGCCCCCGCAUGGCACCAUGCGUCGUCGCAAUGGAUUGUCCAUACCCUCUCCGCGGACGUGUCCGGCUGUGUUAUUGGCCCAGUCCAGUCGACGACGAAGUCUGCCAGGACUUGUGACUUGAUGGCUGUCCUGGGUUUGAAUGUGAUGUGUUAGCCGGAGAGUUCGGCUGCCCAUUUGGCAAUCCGGACUGAUGCCUUCGGGUUUCUAAACAAUUCGCUGAGUCCCCUAUCUGAGGUGACCCGGACCUUGAACGCUUCAAAAUAAUGGCGCAAUUUGCACGAAGCCAUAACAACUGCGUAGGCGAUUUUUUCCAGUUCCGUCAUAUUGCAUUUUGAUGUCGUGAGUACUUCGGAGACGUAAUAAACUGGACAUUGCCUGAACGAGCCCUCUCUAUUCCGCUCUUAGACCAGUGAUGCGCUGACCGCAUGCGGCGAAGCUGCGAUGUAGAGCAACAGUGGUAGCGAGGGGUCUGGGCUUGUAAGAAUCGCCAAUUCUGACAGAUACUGCUUCAAAGAGGCGAAGGCCGCCGCCUGCUCUGGUCCCCAUGCGAAGUCUUUUGCGCCGCGGAGUGUUUUGAGGAAAGGGAGACUUCGCUCUGCGGAUUUGGAGAUGAAUCUGUUGAGGGCGUCCAAUCUGCCUAUUAGUCGUUGGACGUCUCUGGCUGACUGUGGGGCGUCAUGUUGAUGAUGUCCUGAAUUUUGGUUGGAUUGGCUUCGAUCCCAUGGUGCGACACCGUGUAGCCCAAUAUUUUCCCCUAGCGAACGCCGAAGACGCACUUUUCGGGGUUUAGGCGAAGUCGUGCGUCCCGCAUGUUCGCAAAUGUUUCGGUGAGGUCAGCCAGAUGGUCUUCCUUGCUUCUGCUGGCGACGACGAUGUCGUCCACAUACGUAAAUAUGUUUCUGCCGACUUGGCCCUCGAGCACUGUUUUGGUGAGCCGAGAGAAAGUGGACCCGGCGUUCUUAAGUCCCUCCGGCAUUCUGAUGGUAUUAUUAAUUCAAUCUGAUAUAACCAUCAGAUCUUAAGUAUUUAAUUAAUCUAGAGCGUACAUUAGAUUAUCAAACCAAAUCAACCUGACAUAACCAUCGAAUGUUCCGCUAUGCACCUUAAGCGCAUGGUCUGGGGCUUAAUCAUCCGAAUAACCAUCCGAUCUUCUGGUAAGCAUAGUAAGCGUAUGGUUCACGACUUCGUCAUCCGGAAUAACCAUCAGAUUUUCCAGUAAGCACUGAAAGCAAAUGAUCCGGGGUUUUGUAGGGGAAAUGUUGUUAGGUGAAUGCGGAUGCUGGCUGAUGUUGCACGUGCGAACUGUUGUGUGGAAGCUGCUAGGUCCUCCUCUAUUGUGCGUGGCUUGUGGCGGGCUUGGACUUCUCUCAUGGCUUUGGCGCUUGGAACUGUUCGUCCGUUCGGUCCUGCGUGCAUCUCUCUCUCCUGGCUGGAGGCGUGGUGGCCUGGUGGCUUCUCUGUGUUUUUCUUUUUACGACAGCUUCUCGUGUUGGCUAGGGUUGGUGUCAGGGGCCCGGUCAACUAUGCUCCCUCAGCUUUUAUAGGCAGAGCACCACAGCAGGCAGAGCAGAGAUAAAGAUUCCAACUGCAUCCAUCUACAAACAAGGCUCUCAGCGGAAGGGAUAAAAGCAUGCAGCGCAAUUGCUGCUACCGUGCUGCAGCCUUGACUCUCGUCAAUUGGAUGACCAAAAGAUGCCACCGUCUAAAGUCUUUUCUUUGUGCAGCUGCCUGUUUGUCACCAACACAAAAUUGUAGGUGCCUGUUUGUCACCAAUUAUCCUCUACCACAAAGAACUACAAUAGUGAUGGAGGAUCCGAUCCUGCAUAGAUCCACGAUAAUGCAUAGUGGGUGAUGCAUGCCUAAUGGUGGUUGUUUAGUGUUAGUUUUGGCAUGUUGGAACUAAGCAAUUGUCGAUGCCAUACGCUAGAAGUGAAGAAUGUUGUUAGCGUUAGGAGUAGAGGUGUCAAUGGGGUCUGAUACCCGUUAAGCCAUGGAGAAUUUCUCUAUUAGAUUUAGGGUAUGGGAAGAUUUUACUUUCCAUUUGUUGAAGUUAGGUAUACAUCUAUUUGAAUCAACAGUUACAGUUCAAUAGAAACUUCUUCCGCUCUAGUUUGUUGCGUGUCCUACCUUUUUCCUAAACUAGUUUUCCCUAAAUUGACAUACUCUCUAGAAAAUCUAUCCAAAUUUUGAAGAUCAAAUAUGUUCGAUUGAAUUAUUCAUGACAUAUAUCUUGGUAUUGCUUUUUUGUCAUCAGAAUAUAUUUUGAACUCAGUAAAAGUUAUACACGAUUUUUUUUAGACAAUACUAAAGCAAGUUGUAAUCAAGAACACUUGAGGUGUGCGCCAAUUGCCACAUUUAGAUAUAAUCAUUCUAAUUUUGGUCGUCCUAUGUGUGUGCAUUCAUCUAUGCAUUCUAGGAUUUCAAUUAGUUUCAAUCUUGUAGUAUUGGUUCCUUCAUUGUCAAAUCACUUCUCAUCUAACUACUAUGCUUGUUUAACCAUCAGAACAUAACUACAACAAUAUCCAUUUAUAAACGUUUUGAUAGCAAACUUUACAUAUUCAUAUCAUGUUAAGGUUGUCACAUGUGUAAAGGUGAAGAGAUCAUGCAUGUCAUUCCACGUAGAUGAAAAGAAUUCCUAUAUAAAAUGACACCUUUUCUUGUAGGUAGUGGAAAGUAUCUUUCCAGCAAAUACCAUAUAAUCCGAUAAAGCGGAUAACUAAAUGUCGAAAUCGAGUAGAUGCCAUAUCAUCUAUACCUUAUCUGUUGUUUGGAAAAAAGACAAAAUCCAAAAAAUAUAUUUGAGACCUCACCUGUAUAAAUAGCUCCCAAAUCAGUAGUUAAUCCAUCACCCAUAAUAUUUUGAGCAUUCAGAAACACACCAAGCGAAGCUACCUAGCAACGACUUAACAACAAUGGCUACCAAGAUAUUAGCCCUCCUUGCGCUUCUUGCCCUUUUUGUGAGCGCAACAAAUGCGUUCAUUAUUCCACAAUGCUCACUUGCUCCUAGUGCCAUUAUACCACAGUUCCUCCGACCAGUUACUUCAAUGGGCUUCGAACACCUAGCUGUGCAAGCCUACAAGCUACAACAAGCGCUUGCGGCGAGCGUCUUACAACAACCAAUUAACCAAUUGCAACAACAAUCCUUGGCACAUCUAACCAUACAAACCAUCGCAACACAACAGCAACAACAGUUCCUACCAGCACUGAGCCAACUAGAUGUGGUGAACCCUGUCGCCUACUUGCAACAGCAGGUGCUUGCAUCCAACCCACUUGCUCUGGCAAACGUAGCUGCAUACCAACAACAACAACAAUUGCAACAGUUUCUGCCAGCGCUCAGUCAACUAGCCAUGGUGAACCCUGCCGCCUACCUACAACAGCAACAACUGCUUUCAUCUAGCCCUCUCGUUGUGGGUAAUGCACCUACAUACCUGCAACAACAAUUGCUGCAACAGAUUGUACCAGCUCUGACUCAGCUAGCUGUGGCAAACCCUGCUGCCUACUUGCAACAGCUGCUUCCAUUCAACCAACUGACUGUGUCGAACUCUGCUGCGUACCUACAACAGCGACAACAGUUACUUAAUCCACUAGCAGUGCCUAACCCAUUGGUCACUGC
This 62833-nucleotide long non-coding RNA is filed under the name Zea mays. Its description in RNAcentral is "long non-coding RNA (ZMAY_LNC002145)". Lineage: Eukaryota; Viridiplantae; Streptophyta; Magnoliopsida; Poales; Poaceae. The record is from RNAcentral.